Molecule: long non-coding RNA, 65476 nt
Filed under: Malus domestica (apple)
Lineage: Eukaryota; Viridiplantae; Streptophyta; Magnoliopsida; Rosales; Rosaceae
Description: long non-coding RNA (MDOM_LNC007054)
Source: RNAcentral
UUUUGUAAAUGAAGCUUUUGAAGCUAGAGUUCUGUAAAUGAAGUUUUCAAAGUUAGAACUCUGUAAAUGAAGCUUUUGAAGCUAGAUUGACAUGAGUGAUGCUCAUGAAUGUUUAUGUUGAUUGACAUGAGUGAUGCUCAUGGAUGUUGACAUGAGGGAUGCUCAUGAAUGUUAACAUGAGUGAUGCUCAUAAAUGUUGACAUGAAUGAUGGUCAUGAAUGUUUAUGUAUGAUUGACAUGAGUGAUGCUCAUGAAUGUUUAUGUAUGAUUGACAUGAGUAAUGCUCAUGUAUAAUUUUGAAGUACUGGACGUACUUUUGAUCACCUGGUUGGUGAUAAUAGCAGCAGGGUGCCGAAUAAUUUUGGAGUACUGGACGUACUUUUAAUCACCUGGUUUGUGAUAAUUGCGGUAGGGUGCCAAUUAAAUUUGGAGUACUGGGCGUACUUUUGAUCACCUGGUUAGUGAUAAUAGUGGCAGGCUGCAGAAUAAUUUUGGAAUACUGGACGUACUUUUGAUCACCUGGUUGGUGGUAAUAGCGGCAGACUGCCGAAUAAAUUUUUGUAGUACUGAACGUACUUUUGAUCACCUGGUUUGUGGUAAUAGAGGGCAUGGCUCUUUUGGGCAUAUGAGCCUUCACCCUUCACACAACAUUCCAGCCCAUUAUUUUGGGCUUGCCGUUUUUUUUUAUAUUUUUUAUUACCCUCUGAUAGGGUUUAUACAGAUGUUUUCGAAAGAUAAGAAAAAUAAUUAUAUGUUUUCCGUAUGUUGAUGGGCAUCUUCUAGUCUAACAAAGUGGAGACGGGAAACCUUGGUGGGUAUCUUCUUAUUUUUUAUCAUGUUAUCCCGUGGGAUAGUAGAGUAGUGGAAUAGUGGAGCAUCUUCUUUUCGGCUUUUCCUUUUUUGCUUUCUUUUGCUUUUACUUUCUCUUUUCUGCUUUUGUUUCUCAUGUGCUCCCGAGGAGAGCCUCCCUUUUUCUUUUUCUUUUGCUUUUGUUUCUCGCAACUCACUUGAUUGCUUUUGCCUUUCUUCUACAUCUUUUCUGCUUUGCUUUUGUUUUCCCAUGUGCUCUCACAGAGAAAUUGAAGAGAGAGAGAGAGAGAUAGAGAGAGAACAGAUCUGCAGUGGUUUCUCUCUAAGAAUCGAACCAGGCCCCUUUUUAAUCCUCCUGCCUGAUUUGUAUUAAGAAAUGAAUAAGCUUCACUUUUCCAGAGAAAGGAAUAAGCUUCAAUUUAUAUGGUCUUCGUGGGCAACGUGAUGAGAGGCGGUAAUUUGAAGAGAAGGGAAAAAGCUUCACUUCCAAAUCUCCCAUUUGUAUCAAAUAUGUCGAUCCAAUUUUAGGGUUUCAAAAUUCGUUCUCUCUCUCUGCGAUUCGAUUUAUGGGGUUUCUGAUUUCUCUCUGUGAUUAAUCAUGGCGACCAACAACAAGGAGAGCAAUGUUCAGGAGGAAUUGAGCCCUCUUCUGAGCAAGCAAUUCGAGGAGAACCAGAAGGAUGCUGAGAAGCCUGCCAAGGCCUCGCAGAAGAAAUCGCUGAUGGAUGUGGGGCAUGUGAAUGGAGGUGGUAAUGGGUGAAAGCAUAUCAAUGGUGUCUAGGAAUAUAGUAAAUGAGUACCUGGCCUAAGGUAAUUGGGAGUAGCCUUCCGGUGGGAGGUCCAUGACGGCUCCCACCUAAAGUACGAGAAGAAAAUGCACUGUUAUAUAUCAAUUUCCAUCUCCCUUGCAGUUUAUCAAGAUCAGUUGAGAGAUCCACUGGACCUCCAGCAGCUUUAAUCUCCUUGGCAGCAGCUUCUGUCUUUUGUAGAUCCUCUCCCGAUGUUGCAAGACCUCUAUUUAGCCCAGAAACAGCACUCAAUAGGUUGAGCUUUAAAGACACUACAAGUUCAAGGUUAGGCGUGGUUUUGCUUCUGGAAGAUGGCGACUAUGGUGGCGGCGGUUCGAGAACAGAACCUCGUCCACAGUUGCUCUCAGAGCAAAGCUUUUGGUGUGACGGCGAUUUGACAAAACAAAACAGAGGCGUUUUGGGCAGGGUGGUUUGCUUGGAAUAACAUAGUUUGCAGAAGAAGUAGAAGGUGAUGGAGAGAGCUCAGAGAAGCCAUGGCCACAGUCGGAUUUACGAUAUUGGUUAUGUGGUUAAGCCAUGUUCUGAAAAGCAUAAUGCUGACCAUGUUGCUGCCUCUCUGAAGCAGAAAUGCGCUCUCCUGACCUUGUGGCCCCACUAGGAGCCCAUUCCUUGGAUGGAAUAAGGGCACCCAUUUUUUGAGGAUCCAUGGACCUGACAUGUCUUGGGGCUGGAAAGGCUGCUGCAUGUGAUUCAUUUGAGUUUUGUAGGAGAAAAAAAGAGAGGGUAGCUUGUUUUUGGUUCUUGGUUUCUGCAGAUUCACGGUGGAGGUGAAAAAAUGAAAGAGAACCGACAUAACUUUUCAUGUCGAUUCCCACAGAUGGCGCCAAAUGUUGAUGCACAAAACCAGAGGUCUUGGAACAACGUAAAUCCUACUGUGAAUCUGCAAGAAAGUAAAUAACACAAGAUGUAUCGUGGUUCACCCUAACAUUUGGGCUACGUCCACACGGAUAUUGUAUUUCUGAGAGGAUUGUGAGGGAGAGAGUGUGAGGAUCCUCAUGGCCUAGGAAUUGGCCUCCCUUAUCUUUUAUAAAAUAAGGGGUCUUCACUUAUUACAUAUUUGACUCUUCUUUUAUUACAUAAUUACAUUUGAGUCCUCCAAGUAUUUAUACGAGAUCUAAAUACAGAUGCCCUAAGUAUGAUACAAACAAGGGUAAAGUACAAAAAACUACCUCAACUAUUAAUAUCACGAUACUUUCAUACCUCAUCUUUUAAAAUUGACAAUGUCAUACUUUAUCUUUAGAAUUUGGUCCAAUGUUAUAUUUUAUGUUACUUGGUCGUUUACUUUUCAAUAAAAUGCUAACGUGACUUGAUUCGGAGCCCAUUUUCUAUUAAAAAAUCAUUAAAAUAUUAUUAAAAACUAAAAAAAAUUAUUUAAUAUUUUUUAAAUAUUAAAAUAAUAAAAAAGUAAAAAAAAAAAAAAGAAAAGAAAACAACCCUAAGUUCGUCCCUCCCCCUUCCCCCUCCUCUCUUCUCCCCAUCUUCAUCUUCUUCCCCUCACCUGCAACCCCCAACAAAAAAAAAAAAAAAAAAAAAGAAAGAAAACAACCCUAAGUUCGUCCCUCCCCCUCCCUUCUCUUCUCCCCAUCUUCAUCUUCAUCUUCAUCUUCUUCCCCCCCUAAAAAAAAAACUCAGAUCUCGUCAGCGGGAAGAUGGGUGUGGAGAAGGUGAAGGAUGGGUGCGGAAUAUGAUGUGGAGAAUGGAUGAGAGUGGUGGAUUUGGGGUUAGGGUUGGGUUUAGGGGGGGGACGAACUGGGUUGGGUUGGGGGUUUUUUUUUUCGUUUCUUCUUCAUCUUCUUCCUCCUUCUUUCUAGGUUGCUGGGGGUUGGGGGGGCGAACUGGGUUGGGUUGGAAUAUUUUUUUUGCCCUUUUCUUCUUCUUCCUCCUUCUCCUUCUUCUUCCUCCUUCUCCUUCUUCUUCUUCUUCUUCGGGGGAGGGGGGUUGAUGGGUUUUCAAAUUUAUUUAUUUUUGGUUGAAGAUUAAGCAAGGAAGAAGAUGAAGAUGGGGAGAGAGAGGAGGCAAGGGACGAACAGAGGGAUUUUUAUUUUUUAUUUUUUACUUUUCUUUAUUAUUAAAAAAUAUUAAAUAAAUUUUUUUUAGUUUUUAAUAAUUUUUUAUUAAAAAAUGGGCUCCGAAUCAAGUCACGUCAGCAUUUAAUUGAAAAAUUAAAUGGCCAAGUAACAGAAGAUAUAACAUUGGACCAAAUUCUAAAGAUGAGGUAUGACAUUGUCAAUUUUAAAAGAUGAGGUAUGAAAGUGUCGUGACACCAAUUGAGGUAGUUUUUUGUACUUUACCCAAAAAAAUAAAUAAUUAAAGUAACUCCUUAUUAGACCAUCUCCAAUGGUGGGCUAAAUACUAAAUUAGCCCCCAAAUUCCCCCCCCCCCAAACAAUCUCCAACCCAUGCUAAAACAUUAGGCUAAAUGCCAAAUGUUAAAGUGGGCCAAAUACCCCCCAAAAUUUCCCCCAUGCGACUGGACUCGCUGGUAAUUGAGCCAUUCUCAGCCCGAUCACGCUCCAACGCGUCCCAUGCGGUGCGCUUGCAAACCUUUCCUGACAGGGGUGUGCCCCUCUGUCAGCCGUUUGUCUACCACCCAAAAAUCCCAACAGCUAUAAUUUGAAUCCAAAGGCUUGGUUUAACAGACCGUUGGUUGAUCCAACGGUCCAGAUUCAAAUUUAAUUUCUUUAAAUAUGUUAUUUUAAAAUACAUUGAAUUCAACGACUGAGUUCGAAUAUAAUCAAAUCUAACGGUAAAAAAAUAAGAUCUAACGGCCCAAAUUUAAAUCUAACGGCUAAAAUAAUUUAAAAAAAUUAUUUAACUCAAAAUUCACCCAAAAACUCUAUAAAUACCUAUGUAUUUGGUUAAACAUCCUCACAAAACUCAAUUUUCUCCCACAAUUCUUCCAAUUUAUCUUUUUACCAUUUCUUUCCAUUUCCAAAUUAUUCAACAUGACAAGAGAGCAUAUUAGAGGUCGUAAUUGGACCUGUGAGGAAGAUGUUGUUUUAUGCUUGGCAUGGUUUUCUGUUAGCGAAGAUGGUGGAGUUGGCACAAAUCAAAAUAAGAAGGUUUUGUGUGAUAAAAUCAUUGCAAAGUUUCAAGAAAACUGCAAUGGUGGCGGGCAUGAUGGUGGUGGUGUUUAUGAUCGAUGAAAGACUAUCAACAAAGCAUGUACUUUAUGGAAUGGAAGCUUGGAGAAAGCCGUGGUUAACAUGGCUAGUGGAAGGAAGGCCACAGAAAUUGUGAGUUUUGUUCUUAAUAUUUUAUUUGUCAUGUACAUAAUAUUAUUUUCCAACUAAGUAUUUUUAUGUAUUUUUUGCAUAAGGUGACAAAGCAAUGAGAAUUUAUAAGACAAGAGGAACACCAAAAAAUCAAGUUUUUAAGUUGCAACAUGCUUGGACGUCCUCAAGGAUUGUCUGAGGUGGAGAACCGAUGCAGACCAACAAUGGGGAAGAUUAUUUCAAUGUGAAGCCGCACAAACAAAUGCCAAAGAUGAAGGUGUCGAUGAAAUGACCCCAUCUCCUUCUUUUGCAAGGCCCCCGAGAAGAGAUAAGCAAAAGGAAGCAAAGAGAAAAGGGAAGUCCCAAGAUCCGAUGAGUGGACACUUUGGUACUAGAAUUGCAAAAUUGAACGAAAUCCAUAGCGCUUAUCAAGAAGAAACGGCCCGAAUGCGUUUGCAAAUGAAGGAAAUCUCAGAUAAGAAGCAAGAUAGGUUUGAAAUUGAAUUCAUGAUGGAGGACCUCAGCAAAUACACUCCAAAGAGGAAGUUCUUACGUGGUAAACAAAAUGAAAUUUUGCAAAAAUCUGCCUCAAGGAGUAUGUUUCAAGAUGAUGAAUCCUCUGAAUCCUACAUCCCAAGAUUUCAACGAAGUCCAUCACCAAGUGAAGAUGGUGGAUAUGAUUAUUAAGUUUAUGUAGAGUAUGAAUUAUGUGCUUUAUUAAUUGAGUUUAUUAAUUGUUGAUUGUAUUAAGUUGAUGUAGUUUAUUAAUUAUGUGGUUUAUGAAUUAUCGGUUGUAUUAAGUUUAUGUGGUCUAUGUAUUAUCAGUUGUAUUGUUUCUAUUAAUUUAGAUGUCUUCAAUAAUUAUUGUACUUAUUAUUCCACACUUUGAUGUAGAAUAGAUGCCUUCAAUAAUUCAACGUACUAGACAAAAUAUUUUGCACAAGAAGACACUUCAAUUUAUUACUAGAAAAUAACAACACAGUACACUUAAAAUUAAUCUAGAUGCCUUCAAUAAUUAUUGUAUUUAUUAUUCCACACUCUUCUAUAUCACGCUACAAAUAUGAACGUCCUGUGACAGAACCACGAUGGCUAGAUUCGCCAUGGUGAUCAGAUUGCAUAAACGAGUUGACAAGUUCAACUUUGGCGUUGAACAAUUCUGCAUCCUCAGUCUCGAUCCUUGCUUGGUAUUGUGCCAUCUGCAUUGUCAUGCUACGUAUUCUUCUAUCAUCCAUUGAUGAGAUAUUGAGGAUUUUUAGGAAAUAAAAACUCUUUGAAAGUUGAAAGAUUGGUGAAUAUAGAGGAUGAUUGAAGGUUGAAAUGUUGUGUGAUCAACAAAUAUUGGAUAUAUGUUUAUAUAGAGGAUGAUUGAUGAAAGUGAUGCGAAAUAUAUAAGCACACAAAUUUAACCCUCUUUUUGACAAUUGUAGUAUAGAUGUAAGUAGGGAUCGUUCUAAACCGGGGAUUAGGAGGGAUUGCUAAAUCACUUGAAAACUAAUUUAAAAACAUAAAAACAAAGUUAAAAAUGUAAACAAAAGAUUUUAAAACAAGAAAGUAAAAGGGGGAUUUGAGUUUGGUGAAGUUGAAAGUAAAAACGAAUAAACUAAAAACUUAAAUAGAUUUUAAACAAAUUUGGGUUGAAUGGAUAAUGGAAGGCUAGCUAAGGGGUUCUUCUCCACACAUGUCUUGCUUGCAUACAAAAUGAUUUCCAAUUGCAUUUCAAUAACUUAUUAAUUCUCAACGCCCCAAAUUAACCGUGAAUUGCACUAAUUAACCCUCAGUUUUUCCACAAGUUAUUGGGUUGGAUGAUUGCAUACGACAACCCAAAACAUUCCCUACAAGUUCCCUACAUGAAUUGCAUAAUAGAGAUACAAGCAAGAAUCAUUAAGUUCUAUGAAAAACAUAAGCAUUGACGAGGCACUCGUUACUAUGAUUUGCAUGAAACUUAUGCCAAGGAUUUACUUAACACAAUCGUGACUAGCGACUUUUACUACUCCUGAAUAUAAGUUCAUAACGAUUAGGUGAAAUUCCCUUAUACUCUAGCAUCAUAUUUAUGCAUGCAAACUAAGUAUGCAUCCCUAAUCAACAUACAUAAACAUGUUAUCAAUCAAAUAGAUAAGUAAAUCGAAUUCAUAACUUAUGAAACGCAAUUAAAAGUAAUCAAAUCAUAUUGCAAGCAUUAACAUAGUUUCGAAUCCCCCCCUAGCCAAGGGGGGUUUAGUUCCUCAUUAUUACAAAACAAAGAUAAACAAAUUUAAACAUUGAAAAACAAAGGAAAAGAAAGCACACCUAAACGUUCCAACGAUCCAUGUUGGAUAGCAAGUGCGUCUAAGGACUUUUCUCCUUCUCUUUGCCGCAACAACGAGGUUGGAAUGAUGUUGAAGGGUUGGUUAUUUGGAGGAAUGGAUGGGAAGGGGUUUAGAUAUGUAGGAGAGGCAAGGAAAGGCUUGGAGAAUGGUUAAUUUCUGGAUGAUUUGAAUGAGGUUGAUGCCAUGGUAUUUAUAGGAAGAGGAUGGACUUGUUUAACACAAAAUGUUGGUGGAAUUGAGUAGGUGAGCAUGGCAAAGAGUGGGAAUUGUUGGUGGGUUAGGUAUUGAGUCAUCCACUCACAUGUCAUGGUUAGCUAAGCAUUGCAUCAUCCACUCACAUGUCAUGGUGAGCUAAGCAUUGCAUCAUCCACUCACAUGUCAUGGUGAGUUAAGCAUUGCAUCAUCACUAAAAAAAUCUGGUGGAAGUAAAACAAAGGGAAGGCCACGGCAUUGAUGAAUUUUAUGGGGUAUGCAUGGUUUUGAGUGAAGUUUUGGCCAAUCCUUUUAGAAAUUUAUCCCUUCUUGCAACUUGUAUUUGUUUCACCAGAUUUUUAGCAUGUUCUUAGCCUCUUUUGUCUUCAAAUUCGUCCAUCCAUCUUGCUCAUAUCAUAUGUAAUCCAUUACAAGCUCAAAACUGCUCCAAAAUGCACCAAAAUGCACUUUCUUGCUACCUUAGCCCUUUGGACCUACAAACACACGAAAAUGGCUUAAAGUACUAAAAUAACUAAGAACUAAUAAUGUAAAUGCAAGAAAACUAGUUAACUAAGUCGCAUAAAUAUGCGUCUAUCAGAAAGUUGAAUGUUUGGUGAAAGUUGAAAGUUUGGUGUUGAACGGUUGGUGAAUUGAAAGUUAGCCCAUGAUUGAAAGAUUGGUGAAAGUUGAAGGCUUGCUUUGUGAAAAAUUUAGUGAUUUUUCAAUAUUUAUCGCAAUUUAAAUUUUUUUAAAUUAAAAUGUUCAUAAAAUUAAUUUACGAUAGUUUAUAUAUUUAUUUUUAAAAAAUUAAUUUAAGAAAAAAAUCGCCUAAGUUUAUUCUUUAAUAAUCCCGGACUAAAAUUUUAGGCCAUAACAGUUGGAGUAGGAAAACUGUUUCUGAGCUAAAAUAUUUGGCUUUUAGCCCAACCAUUGGAGAUAGUCUUAUUAGGACAAAAAGUAAUAAAACUUAUGUUUUGAAAACAAAUGUACCAAAAAUUCAAGGAAACUUUAAUAAAAAACUCCCGGUACUGUUUACUUUAACGAAAAACCAUAUUUUUACACUAAAAAAUCAAUUCUGGUACUAUUCACUUUAUCUUUUAUUUUGUCCUUAUCGUUAAAACUCAAAUUUUUCAAGUCAAUUUAAUUAAUUUUCCUAAAAUUCAAAUGUACCAAAAAGCCAAAUGAACCAAAAAUUCAAAUGUACAAAGUAACCAAAUGUACCAUUAUAAUUAAACAUACCAAUAUAACCAAACACACCUAUCAACGAGUUUUGUUACAUUCUAUUUAAUUUACUAAAAUAACUAUUUUAAUAAAAAAUAAAAAAAAUCUUAAAUCAUCAUAAUUAGAGAUACAUAAAAAUUGGAAGAAAAAAGAAAAUGAUAUCGUGAAUAGACUUUUAAUGAAAUAAAAUUAAGGGUAAAUUACAAAAAAGUACCUCAAUUGUUGGUGUCAUGACACUUUCAUACCUCAUCUUUUAAAAUUGACAAUGUCAUACCUCAUCUUACGAAUUUGUGCCAAUGUUAUACCUCCCGUUAGGGUUGGCGUGAAUUUCUCAAUUAAAUGCUGACGUGGCUUGAUCCGAGACCAAUUUUCUAUUAAAAAUUAAUAAAAUAUUUUUAAAAACUAAAAAAAAAAUUUAAUAUUUUUUAAAUAUUAAAAUUAAAAAAAAAACCAACACUCAGUCAGUUCGUCCCCUCCCCCCUUCUCUCUUUUCUCCCCAUCAUCAUCUUCUUCCCUCUUCCUGCAACUGCAACCCAGAAAAAAGAAGAGAAAAAAAAAAAACCAGUUUGUCUUCCCCCCUCCCCACCCCCUCUUCUCCCCGCACCCAACCUCCCCAUCUUCGCACCCAACCUCGCACCCAUUACCUGCAACCCAAAAAAAAAAAAAAAACCCACAUCCUGUUGAGGUGGAAUCAUGAAACAUUCGCCAGGCCGAUUUUGAAGGUUGAGAACCUGGGCGCGGAGAAAAUAGGGAGGAUGGGUGUGGAGGAAAGAGGGUGGGUGCGCGGCGAGGGGGGGGCAGACGAACUGGGUUUCCUUUUUAUUUAUUCUCUCUCUUCCUGGGUUUGUUUGGGGGGGGGACCUAGGUUGGGUUGGGUUUUUUUUUUCCUUCUUCUUCCUCCUUUUCUUCUUCUUCUUCUUCUUCUUCUUCUUUCUGGGUUUGUUGGGGGGGGGGGACUGGGUUGGGUUGGGUUUUUUUUUUCUUUCUUCUUCCUCCUUUUCUUCUUCUUCUUCUUCUUCUUCUUCUUCUUCUUCUUCUUUCUGGGUUUGUUGGGGGGGGGGGACUAGGUUGGGUUGGGUUUUUUUUUUUCUUCUUCUUCUACUUCCUCCUCAUUUUUCCUCAUUUUUUCUGGGUAGCAAGGGGUUGGGUUUGUGAUGGGGGGAAGGGGAUGAACUGGGUUUGGUUUGGGAUUUAUUUUUUCAUUCUUCUUCUUCUUCUGCUUUCUGGGUUUGUUAUGGGGGGAGCCUGAGUUGGGUUGAGGUUUUUUUUUUUUUAUUGUCAAUCCUUCUUCUUCUUCUUUCUGGGUUGCAGGACGAGAGAGAGAGAGAUAGAGAGAGAGAGGGUGGGGAAGAAUGAACUGACCUGAGGAUUUUUUUUUUUUACUUUUUUUAUUAUUUUAAUAUUUAAAAAAUAUUAAAUAUAUUUUUUUAGUUUUUAAUAAUUUUUUAAUAGAAAAUGAGUCAUGAAUUAAGCCACGUUAGCAUUUAACUGAAAAAUUUACGACCAAAUAACGGAAGGUAUAACAUUAAUACAAAUUCGUAAGAUGACGUAUGACUUUGUCAAUUUUAAAAGAUAAGGCAUGAAAAUGUCAUCACAACACUAGUUAAGGUAAUAUUUUGUAAUUUAUCCUAAAAUUAAGUAACAAAAUUGUAGAAAAAAUGUUUAAUCAAAUUUGCAAAAGGAAUAGACGUUUAGUUUAUAACAUUUAAAAAGUUUUGCCCAUGCUUCUCAUGCUUUCUCGUGGCUCUAAUGGCUCUAAUGGCUCUAAUUCAAUGGUUUCUCAUGCUUCUCAGCCUCCCGUGCACUUUGUUGCUGAUGUUACUCACUCUACUCCUAACGGCGAUGCCCGAAAGGCAUGCAAAAAUCUCUUGUCACUUGGAACAACGCAACAAGCCAAAGUGCGAGAUUUCCCCUACCACAUCGGAUGUUCAUGUAAACAUGCUACAAAUCCUAGUUUGCAGCAAUAUCAUUAGUCCACCACCCAUAAGAUGGAAGGGCAGAUUCCAAAGCUCUGGUAGUUUUACUUGCGACAAGUAAAAUCAUUGGGGCACAGUAUUACCGUGCUAAUGGUGUUUAUACCAUAUUUAGGGCCUCGUAUUUAGAUCUCGUACAAAUACUCAGGGGACUUAAAUGUAAUUAUGGGAUAAAGGAAUGGGCAAAUAUGUAAUAAGUGAGGAGUCCUUAUUCUAUAAAAGGACCCCUCACCCUCACAAUUGGGAGAGGCUCAUUCUCACCCUCAGAGGCCAUUUCUGAAGCCUCUCACCCCCUCUCAAAGCUCCUCACAUCCCCUAAGCUCUCUCUCCCUCUUCAACAGAGAAAUAUAAUACAAUCAGUGUGGACGUAGCCCAAACCUUGGGGUGAACCACGAUACAUCUUGUGUCAUUUACAUUUCUUGCAGAUUUACGAUUGGAUUUACGUUGUUCCAAGACCCCCGGUUUUGUGCAUCAACAUUUGGCGCCGUCUGUGGGAAUCGAUACGAAAAGUUAUGUCGGUUCUUUUUCAUUUUUUCAUCUCCAUCGUAAAUCUGCAAAAAUUUGCAAAAAACCCAGUAACAAAAAAGAUCCAGAUCUCAAAAUCACUCAUCUCUCUCUCUGGAAAACUCUGCAGUCUUAAGAAACCAUCCAAAAACCAAAAUCCCAAAUAAAUCUUGUCGCACCAGUGGUUUUCUCGGAGACUUCGCCAAAGAACAAGCCGCUUGAAUUCUCCAACAAGAUAGAAAUUGCAGUGUCCCAAUGACUACAAAAUGAGCGACCACAAGGUCGCAGCAGCACCACCUGCACCUGAUCACCCACUACCAUCAUUCGGAAGACUAAGCUCCACACCCUAAAGUCGAUCUCAACGAAGUCGCUCCACCUCCCCACUCUGAAACUCGGACCUCCACCUCCCUUCAACACACUUUGUCAGUCUCUCUCUAUCUCUCUGUAAGUGUACCCAUCAAAGCUCCCACUUCGAUCGAUUCAGCAUCGAUGAUUUCGAGGUAGAAGAUGAGGUCCGACCCGACUUCCCGUGCCCGUAUUCCUAUGAGGACUUCGACAUCGCGUCCUUGUGCUUCCAUCUCGAAGACGAGCCCUCCUGCGAAUCCACAACCACCUACUGCUCAGCCUUAUCUAAAAAAAAUAGUGGGUUUCAAUGGUAGGUUUCUGGGUUCUUGCAGAUCUGAUUUCAGGCAACAACAGGAGGCUCGGCUUCAGACAACAAUUUCUGGUAUUUAUACCAUCUAAGAAAAGCAGAUCUCACGAGUUUCGAUGGUGGUUGUAGAGGGAAGCAAUGGGUUAAAUGUUCAAGCUGCAGCGGCGGGUUCGAUCUCUAGGACAGCUUCGGUCGGUGAGGGGUUGAUAGAUCAAUUUCGAUGCGGGUGGUAGUUUGACAAUAGGUUGUUGCGCGGUGCAUGAAUACAAUGCAGCAGGCGUGCGACACAAAACGAGUACGAGUCAUUGUCGAAGUUCGAACAGCUACUUCGGCACUGAUUUCAGAUUGAAUCUUCUAGUACACGGUUAAUUAGUCAGUGUAUGUUGUUCUUGUUUUAGAUUUUUAGAGAGAGAAAAUUAUGGGAUCUGGAAAUGGGGUUUAUUUAGUUGGGGAUUUCGAUUUGGAUGCCUUGUGGUUAAUAGAGAAGAAAAUGUAUGAACUCUGUUGAACGCGUCUCGCCGAUCAGACAACAGGCAAAGGUUGAGGUUUGGUUGAUGUUGCUGGAGAUAAUAAGCACAAGGAGAACAAGCAAGAUUGUGGUUUGGAGCCAUUGAUAUUGAAAGGGGAAGAAGAUGAGAGAGCAUCGCCAUGCACUACCGUUAUCAGAGGACCCAGUUCCCGCCCCAUGGCCCCACCAAUUCCACUCCAUCUUGGUGAUGAACUACACUGGAACCCUCUAGCUCAUUGACCUCUAAGCAGAAAGAAGAUGCAAGAAACAGAGAACUUGAGUGCCAUCUGCACUCUGCAAAGUAAAAGCAAAAGCUAAAAGAGAAAGAUUAUACUUUUGCUUUUGUCGACGGAUGCAUGUUCCUAUUUUUUAAAAGCUAGAGAAAAGCAAAUGGGCGAUGUCGGAAAGGCUGUCCAAAGCAGCUGUCAUUUUAGAGCAAAGCAGAAAGCAUGGCUACCCGAGAUCUGCGGUGGAAAAGAGCAAAGCAGAAAAUAUGGCUACCCACUGAGAUAAUUACAAAAGUAGAAAAGAAAAGAGAAAAACAAAAGUAAGGAAUAAACAUCCUACCAGAAUGAUGUAAUUUAUAUUAUUUUCGGAGACAUAUGUAUAAACCCCAUCAGUGGGUAAUAUGUAUAAAACCCAUCAGAGGGUAAUCGUCAAAAAAAAAAAAAAAAAAAAAAAAAAAAAAAAAAAAAAAGGAAAAGCCCAAAACAAAUGGGCUGACAUGUUGUGGAAGGCGAAGACCCAUAAGCUUGAAAUAGCACCAACCAGGCGAAGACUCAUGUCAUUCAUACAUAAACAUUCAUGAGCAUCACUCAUGAUAAUCAUACAUAAACAUUCAUGACCAUCAUUCAUGUCAACAUUCAUGAGCAUCACUCAUGACAACAUCCAUGAGCAUCACUCAUGUCAAUCAACAUAAACAUUCAUGAACAUCACUCAUGUCAAUCAGCUUCAAAAGCUUCAUUUACAGAGCUCUAGCUUCAAAAGCUUCAUUUACAAAAAGCUCCAGUUUCGAAAGCUUCAUUUACAGAGCUAUAGCUUCAAAGCUUCACUUGCAAAGCUUCACUUACAAAGCUUCAGUGCAGGGUAUACAAAUACCACAUUCGAACAACCGCCACUUCGGCCUAUACAUAGAUUCAAUUUGAAGUCUCCAGCCAACAGCCUCUAUUGACUGAAGACUUGGGGGACUACAUUAUGUACCAUAUAUUGGGCCUCAACUGGGCCUCAUAAAAAAUACUUGGGAGACUCUAGCCCAUCACUUAUGUAUUGAGGAGCGAGCCCUUAUUCUAUAAAAGGGACUCCUUCACUUUUAGAGAGCACUCAUGAAAAAUACUUGAGGGACUCUAGCCCAUCACUUAUGUAUUGAGGAGUGAGCCCUUAUUCUAUAAAAGGGAAUCCCUCACUUUCAUUAGAGAGCACCCAUUAUUCAUGUACUGAGGAGUGAACCCUUAUUUUAUAAAAGGGACUCCCUCACCUUCAUUAGAGAGAAACGCCGCCAGCUGAGCAACCGCCUCGCCGUGAGCAUCAACUCUAGCCCAUCAUUUAUGUAUUGAGGAACGAGCCCUUAUUCUAUAAAAGGGACUCCCUCACCUUCAACACCACAAGCCGAGCCAACCAAGGCAAUAUAAGCCACAAGCCGAGCAACCUCGCAACAUGUGACAGUUGAGCAUCAUUUCAGAUUGAGCACCGCCUCAUAUCGAGCAUCAGUUCAAAGAUAACAUCUAGUUACUUCGGCCCACACAUGGACUGAAUUUCAAGUCUCCAGCCAAAAGACUCUCUUGACUGAAGACUUGGGGGACUACUGUUUAUACCAUAUUUAGGGCCUCGUAUUUAGAUCUCGUACAAAUACUCAGGGGACUUAAAUGUAAUUAUGGGAUAAAGGAAUGGGCAAAUAUGUAAUAAGUGAGGAGUCCUUAUUCUAUAAAAGGACCCCUCACCCUCACAAUUGGGAGAGGCUCAUUCUCACCCUCAGAGGCCAUUUCUGAAGCCUCUCACCCCCUCUCAAAGCUCCUCACAUCCCCUAAGCUCUCUCUCCCUCUUCAACAGAGAAAUAUAAUACAAUCAGUGUGGACGUAGCCCAAACCUUGGGGUGAACCACGAUACAUCUUGUGUCAUUUACAUUUCUUGCAGAUUUACGAUUGGAUUUACGUUGUUCCAAGACCCCCGGUAAUGGAUUUGACGUAGGUGAUGCCCAAUUUUCAAGAGACACUAUUGAAAAUGAAACUCAUAUUCAUGAAAAAAAAGAAAUUUUGCAUGAGUUUAUAAGAGAUUUGGCUACUCUCUAUAUUGCUAAUUGGUUUUGUAGUGGAAUCCCAACUUUUUUCAUAGUAUCAGAACAAGUUGUUCAACGUGUAAAGCCAAAUGGCCACACGGGCUCCAUGUCAUCCCGUUGUGCUGUCCACGUGUUAAGCUUGAAAAUUUGUCACAGGCACAGAUUUAAAUAUCGAUAUUAUCGGCGAAAUAUCGCCGAUAAUAUCGAUUUUUCGGGUAAUGGAUAUUUAAAUAGGUUUCCGUGUGGUUUUCGUCCAAAUAUCGCGAUAUUAUCGAUAAUAUCGAUAAUAUCGCGAUAUUUUGGAAAUAUCGAGAUAUUUCGUUGAACGGUGCAAUCGGACUCCGAUUUCGAACGCCGGAGAAGAACGCCGGAGAUGGUGUGGCUGUUCCCGAGCCCAUUUCAUCCCAAAAACCUUGCAAAAACACGAAUUUUAACUUCAAUUUCACAUAUAUGCUUCAAAUUUCACGCAUGCAUCAACGAUUCAACAUAUGAUGUCGGUUUAGGGCUUAGGGUUUCAAUGGAAUCUCACCUGAAAAAUCGAUGACUGGGCCAACUCCUUGCUCAGCGGCGCACCACCAGAGACGACUGAGCCAAGUCCGACUUCGCCAGAGCCACGAUCAACGGCAACGAAGGAUCGAGAGAGUGGGCGAAGGAUCGAGAGAGUGGGAGAAGGGGGAGAUCUGUGUGUGUGUGGGUCGAAUGGAGAAGGGGGAGAAGAGAGGUCAGGCCUCAGAGAAGAAGACCCCGGAGGCCCGGGAAACAACCGUCAUCGCCAACACGCGCAUCGACUGGAAGGAGACCCCGGAGGCCCACAUCUUCAAGGCGGACCUCCCGGGGAUCAAAAAGGAAGAGGUGAAAGUAGAGGUGGAGGACGGGAGGGUCCUGCAUAUCAGCGGCGAGAGGAGCAGGGAGCAGGAGGAGAAGACGAAGAACUGGAGAAGGGAGAAGCUCAGAAGUUCUAGAGAGAAGAGAAAGACAGAAGUUCUAGAGAGAGAAGGAUCCAGAGUGAGACUCUGUGGGCGUGCGUGGUUUUGGCUUUUGGGGGGGGGGGUUUUGUCUGUGACACACUGACUCACUGACUCUCUCUUCUGCGUGUGAUGUGUGGUGGUGUGAGAAAAAAAAAGAAUCCAAUGCAAUGAUCCAAUCCAAAUAAUUCAAAAUCAAAUAAAAAAACAUAUAAAUAAUUCAAAAGCAUCUUCAAAUAAUUUUGACAAGACACUCACUCUACACAUAGAGAUGAUGAAGAUAGUGAAAAAAUUGAACCUCAUAGGAACUCUAUGUGGUACUAAAGUGUAAAAUGUUGUACUAAUUCAUUAUAUAUAAAUGAUUAUGGUGUGUUUAGACUUCUUUCAUUAAUUACUACAUAUUUUUUACACUCACAAUGUUUGUCAGCUCGCUAUAUAAUCAACUUGAUAAUGUUAAAUCCAUCAUGCAAUGCAUUUCCUUCCAAUUUUUUGUGAUAAACUAAUAGAUAAUUGACUAAAUAAACAUCCUGCAAAGUUUCAAUAAAAAUUUCUAAGUUUUUCUUACAAUUUCCGUGGUUUCCAUGUAAUUUUUAUCGAUAUCGAUAUUUUACCGAUAUUUCCAUCGAUAUUUCCGUGUUUUCAGACUACCGAUAUUUCCGAUAUUACCGAUAUUUAAUACCAUGGUCACAGGUGAAAUCAAAGGAGGGACUUGCAUUAGCUUAUAAGAGGUUGAACUAUUCCCUAUAUUGCCAAUUUGUUUAAUUUUAAGGUGUGUUAUCCACACACCCUUUUUCACUUUUCACACACCUUAAUUUUUUGUCGUCAAAUUGAAUAAGUUGAAGAAGAUCAACUAAAUUAAUAAAGGAUGUCUGAAAAGUCCACACAUCCCUUAAUUUAUGAUGGAACCUCAACUUUCUUCAGACACCCAUGGCCAUGAGACUCACACUGCAUCAAUAGCAGCAGGGAACUUGGUCAGCAAUGCAAGUCUAACCAUUUAUGUUGGACAAGGAGUUUAACCAUUUAUGCUUAGUACUGAUCACUUCGGUUCUUUGGAUGAAUGUAUGUAUAGGUAUGGAUGGUGUGGUGUCUGUUUUCCCCAGUGAAAAGAAGAAGCUCCUCACAAGAACGUUAUGGGACUUUAUUGGGUUCCCGGAAAGAGAGUCGAGUAGCAACAAUCUUGACGAAAGCAAUAUCAUUGUAGGAGUGACUGAUACUGGAAUUUGGCCGGAAUCUGACCUAAAAAUGGGAAGGCACAUGACAAUCCUAAGCCAACAUUACUUGUAAUUUGUAUGGCAAACUAGUUUGUUGUCUGUUACUCCAAUCAUCAAUACAUCUAGAAUGUUUUUUUUUAUCAAAUUUGAUCAUGUGAAAUGAUGACUUUUGAAAACAUUAGGAAAUAGGAAAAGCCUAUAGUUUUCAAAUAAGGCUUUGGAUCUCAUCCGGAUCUAAAUUGUGGGGAUCAUAGGGAUCCUCAUAUCCUAACUAUUUAUCGUACAUCGUGCGACCAGAAAUCAUUUUAAAUUUUUUAUUUAAAAAUUAAACGCAAAUAGUACCUAACGAAAACUGAUCGCACGUUAUACGAUGAACGAUUAAGAUGUGAGGAUCCUUAGGCCAUCUCCAAUCGAAGGGUCCAGAGGGCCAGAUGGUUGAAAGUACCAAGAUGUUCAAUCUCAAUGACCUUCUCUUUAACUUUGUCUUGAACUUUCAGAUAUUCGAUGUCCAUUAGCCUCGAUGCUUUUGAUCUUCUUUUGGUACCUUAGAACUUUCUUUCAGAUAUUCGAUGUGAUUCAAUUAUUUGUCAAAUGAUUGUUUUUUUUUUUAAUUUUAUUUAUUUUUUUGAACAAAAAAUAUUAUCUACACUAAGAGGGAGAAGGGGUGCUUAGCCUCACAAUUGGCUAGCAAUAAUGUGAUUCAAUCAGUUAUUUAUUAAAUAUUAUUCUCUCUAUUUUUAAACACAUUUAAAACAUCUUAAGAGGUGCAUACCACCGGUGAUAAAAAAAAGGUCUUUCUGCCGGUUAUAAAAAAGGCAUUUUGCACGCGCAUAACAAUGUGAUUCAAUGACACACCUCGACUCGAAAUGUCCACUAGGACUCUGAAUCGAGCUGUGCUAGUGGAAGGUGACGAAGCCAUAAAGUAUAGUGCUGUGGAAAAUGUGAAUAAAUUUAAACCUAAAAGUGUUUAAACACAAGAGUGCGCUGUGAGCGGGAAUGAACUCAUUUCACACGCGACAUCAGAGCAUAAGUAAAGUACAGUAGUGUUGGUAAGGAUCAUACCCUCAAAGGUAGCCACCUAUACUGAGAUUCGCCAAGAAUCCUCGUCGAUAAGAACUUUCAGUAGCUAAAACCUGGCGGGGCAAAAAAACAAGGGUGAGUGAGCCUGAAAACAAAGUUUUAAUAAAAACAUUUUGAAAACGUUUUAACCCCUCGCUGUAAAAUUCGUAUAGUUUCUAGAAAUUAACACUACAUAUAUAUGUAAAACAAUGCACAAAGACAGUAAAAACCAAGUAUGAUCGUUUCAACACUAAAAUAUGUAAGCCAGGUGUGAAAAUCAAGGUAAAAUAAUAUGCCAGCUGGAGUCACCUAACGUGACCUGUAUGACUAAACCUAUAGCUCAUCAAACUAUGUCUGCACACGAGUUGAAACCACCUAAUGUGGUCUGUACGACAUGCUAGCUGUAAAUAAGUACGCUCAAGUGCUACGAUCUCGUGAAGGCUGUGCGAAUAAUCGCAGGUCACCUACGAGUUGGAACCACCUAUUGUGGUCUAUACGACAGGGAUGGCACCAAGCUUGGAUCCAAGGUGAGCGUGCGGUGCAUGAGGUGAACAUUACAUGAAGGACUGUGCCCUGACCUCGGGCGGGAGCACUAACACUAGGGUGCAGCAAUGAUGAGCUCUAAAUGCAUCUAUGCAUAACAAUGUGCAAUACAACCAAUACCAUCACAAUAUACUCACAUGAAGCUUACCUAAGCCUCUGCAGCAUCAAACGAUAUAAUGCAUAACAAUAGUAAUGAAAUACUAAAAAUAUAAUUCAUUCAUGACAUGGCAUUCAAAGCAUAGCUCAUAUAAAAGUGUUUUUGAAAACCGUAAAGCAUAUAUAUAAAUACUAUAAAAAGGAAGAAGACCCACUCACUUAGAGUCUGCGCUACAAUUCCCUAGCACAAACAUCGAGGCGUCACGAACGAUCGGCGCCUAGAACAAUUAUUAAACCACAUCUCAGAAUCCUUAUCAAUAGAACACAUAACUUACAUAAAACACAUCCCCAAGGAUGUUCUAGAAUGAUUUGAGACCCAUUGACCAAAAGUCAACCGUCGGUCAAAGAUUGACAGUAGGGUCUACAACCCUAGAUAAUUCGAUCUGGAAGAUCCGCACCUCAGAUUUUCCAAUCUGUAACUUCCAAAUAUCCACAUUAUGCUUCUAAAACAUCAUACUAAAGUUUUAUUAUGAUCCAACGGUUGGAUCUUCGCCAAUUACCAAAACCAAGUGGCGGUCGAAGUUUUAUUUUACGAACUUUCAAAUCCAACUCAGAAAUACCCGCACUUCGGAUUCCCGAUCUGUAAAUUCCUAUGGUCCUUAAAUAUUGCGUACUAUAAUGUACUAAAGUUUGGUGACGAUCCAACGGUCGGAUCGUCAAUUACUAUUCUAAUCAAAUGGCGAACCUUAAUGGAACUAGGUUCAAACCACAUAAAUUCGUCAAUUAGACUUCACAAAUGGAAUCAGGGUAUUCAAAUUUAGCCUAGGAAGGUUAGGAGACGUCUCUGCCCACACGCUGCCGCACGUGCCACCGCAAGUGGCGAUUGGCCGCCCCGACUCGCAGGAAAAAUCAACUAUUUCUAAAAAUUACCAAAUUUUACAAAGAAGUAGAUAUCAAUAAGGGGAACAAUUUUCAUACCUGUGGCCAAGUCCAAUUUGAUCGGGAAACACCUGAAAUCCACCUCGAUCCGCGGAAACCCUUGAAAUGGGUGUUCUUGACUCGACUCCAAACAAGCUCCGACGACUCAACCAUUGUUUAGGCUUUGUUCCUGUGGUUGAGGGGAGUCUAUUGGUGGUGGUGGUGGUCGACAGGAUUAACUUCAAAUUUUGACGAUUCGAACCCAAAACCGCCACACCCCACCGUGCAGGUUCUCCCAAUAUCAAGGCCAAAUCCCUUGAUUUUUUGGGUGUAAUAGGAAGGGGGAAGGUCAUGAAGGAUUUUCCAAGUGGUGGUUUGAUGAAAUUUUCUGGAAAAAGGACGAUUCAUCGUUGAAAAACCUCCCAAAAAUGGGUCGGGUCACGAGUUAAGGGGAGGGUCCGAUUCUCUCUUUCUUUUCUCCCUCAUUUCCUUUCCUCCUGAUUGGCCGAUUCCCUCCCUCCUUUCUCUCAUUUCUCUUCUCUCCUUCUCAUCCCAACCGUCUAUUUCUUCCUUCCCUUUUCUUUUCCUUUCAUCCCAGCCACACACAUGGCAUUUCACAUGGCUUCAGAUUUUCUGGAGCUUUCUAAAGAAGAUUAAAAUUACCAAAAUAUCCCUAACUUUAAACGUUAAUAUCUCCUUUGUUGUAACUCCAAAUUACGUUCCGAUUGCGCCCACACGUUCGUAACGACAAAUACUACGAGGAUAUGUUAAGAAAAUAGAUCUUACAUGACAUGACAAGGUAGUAAAAAAAAAUCAACGUAUUUUCCUCGAAGGGCAUUUCCGUACAUUCACUCAUUAAAAUUACAAAAAAACUGUAAAAUUGGAAAUGGGUCGUUACAUUCAAUUAGUUAUCAAAUGAUCGUUUUUUUUAACAAACGAUAUUAUCUACACUAAGGUGGAGAAGGUGAGCUUAGCCUCACAAUAGGUUAAUGUGAUUCAAUCAGUUGUUUAUUAAAUAUUAUUUUCUCUAUUUUUUAUGUAAAUUCAAUAGAAUGUAGAUGAAAAUUGAAAGACUGAUUUUAUUAUGUGGAUUUAGCUGCUUUGAUUGGUUUGUGAGGGGUUUCUUAUAGCGUUGUCUAAUAUUAUUCAUUUAGUCCAAAUAUUUGACUUUCUUUUUGUCAUGAAAAUAAAAAUAUUAAAGCAAUUCACGUAUAUAAAUGCAUUUAAAAUGUGUAAGUAGCGCGCAGGACACCGUGAUUCAAAUAUGCCUUCUGCACGCGCGUAAGCGCUUGCAUGAAGGCUAGUGAUACGAAAUGAAAGGACAAGUUUGAAAAUAGACUAUUCAAUAUUUGUGGAAAUCUUUAUUCAGUAGAAUAUCCAAUAGUUCUCAUUCUCCAAUGCAUCUACCAUUUCAUCUCAAAUACAAAGAAAGGUAGGUCUACAAAUAACAAUCAAAGGGAGUACAAAAGGUGACCAAAAUAUAGCCACAUUUUCAAUUAUACAUGAAUUAAAAUUUCCACAGAAUGUGUUGACUUCAUGACUUAGUAAUUUAAAGUCUUGGUCCUUGGAAUGAUUAGAUAGAAAACUAUUUUGGGGACUCUUAAAUUUUGGGACCCUGUGCCAUGGAACCGGUAGGUCCCCCUCAAUAUCAGCUCUAAUUAUGAAUGGAUGUUUAAUCAUAGGUAAGGAAUGAUAGGGAAAAAAGGAAAACGAAAGUAAAGAUGUAAUGUGAAAUUUGUUAGGGUGGCUAGCAAACAAUUUCAUGAAAAUAAAGGUAAAAAAAGAAAAAGAAAAAAAGGAACGUCUAGAAUUGAACUUUUAAUAAAAUGAAAUUAAUCAAAACUGGACGAAAAUUGUUUAACCAAAUUCUUAAGGGGAGUUUUAACGAAAGUCCGCGGUACUGUUUACUUUAACGAAAAACCACAUUUUUACACUAAAAAGUCAAACCUGGUACUUUUCACUUUACCCUUUAUUUUGUCCUUAUCGUUAAAACUCAAAGUUUUCAAACCCUUUUUAUUAGUUUUCCUAUUCUUAAAAGUAAUAGAUGUUUAAUCACCAAAAUUAAAAAACAACGCGUUUAUAUCAAAACGCCCCCAAACUAUGUAAAAUAAUCAUGGGAGCACACCAUACCCCUAAGAAUAAAGAGAAAUUGCAACACGUGAAAUGCAUGGCUUUUCAUUUUUAGUAUAAGCAGGGCUGUCUCUGAAAUUUCGGGGAUCCUAUGCAAAUUUAUAAAAGGGCCCUUCUUAAGAUAAUAUUAAAAAAACUUCGUGGUUGUUUUUCUUUAACAAAAAAACCUAUCAAUAACUCGUUUUUUAGACGAGUCAAUUGUUCAACUUUUUUUUCUUUGGCGUUUCAAGUAGCCACAUAAAUAUUUUUUUAGUAGGUGUUAUCUUUUAUAUCUCAAACAAUAUCAUAAUUACAUUAUACUAAGCAUAUACAAUAAAACCUGAUAGUUCGCAAUGCAUGUGCGUCUAGUGGUUUUUGUUUACUGCUCCCCUCUUGCUAUGACAAUUACUUGAUUAAUUUUUAUGAGUUUUGCCCUAAAAAGUACAAAAGGAAAAAAAUAUCAUUAUUAAUAAAAAUACCUAAAUCUUCUAAUUCCAACUUAAUAUACUUGAACUAGUAAUACCUUAUUUUAAUCGAAGUCUACACCACUCUGACCACUUCAAUUGUCUUCGUGAUUUGGAAAAUUUUCUUCAAUGUUAGGAAAUUUUGAAUUUAGGGUUUAAUGGUUUGUGUAAAAAAAGUGGUGAGGAUGGGAGAUACAUGGGAAGUGGGAGAGGGGGCGUCUGGAUGAGAGAGAGAAGUGGAUCAUGACUCUUGGAGUGAGAAUUGAGAAACAUUAUGAAUAAUAUCAUUAUUUUAUAAUUUUUAUAAAUUUUUUUAUGAUUUGAUGACUUAUGUAGGCAUUCAUGUAGCUUGUGGCUUGUGGGCCCACUAGGAUUUUUAUAUCUUUUAUGUGGUUCUGAUUAGCCUUUUUAUUUAUAUAAAUAAUAUAAUAUUAUUUCAUAAGAUAAUCGAUUAGAUAGAAAACGGAAAAAUUAGUAUUCGGUCCCUAGUUCUUACUGUUCAUUGACUAAGACCUUAUUAAUUCUUAAAUUUUGAUUCAAGUCCCUAGCAAUAAUGUGAUAAUGAAUUUACAUGUUUAUUAUAUAAUUUUUUAAUAUAAAAAUUAGUAAUUAAUUUAGGGUUUAAUACUCACACCUCUACUAAACUUCUAAUUAAUUUUCAAUUCAAACAUUUCCAAAAUAAUAAAAAAUUAAAUUAAAUUAAGUUUGUACCUAUUAGUUUUUUUUUAUAUAUAAAAAGAUUCUCAAUUUUUUAAUCUUAAAUGUACCCAUUCAUAUAAUUUUUCAAUUUUUUUAAUCUUAAAUGUACCCAUUCUCAAAUAUAUCAAUUUGUUAUAUGUCAAAUGUACCCUUUUUUUUUAAUAUAAAAUCCAUUCAAAAAUUUUAAUCCAUGUUUAAACUUAUAUGGGUACAUUCUUUUUUGUUGAUUUGAGAAUGUAUCCAUGUUUUGGUACAAUAACUUUUUUUGUUAAUUUUGGUUAAUGUACCCAUACAUAUAUGUAUAUACACACACACACACACACAAUAUAAUAGAGAGUAUAAUUUAUAUUUUAUUAUUUUAAUCCCAUAAAUUAUGGGUUUUAUUUAAAAUCUCUUUAAUAUAAACAAUUACAAAUUUUAAAUUUUAAUUUUUAAUUUAAAAAAUAUAGUAAUGUCAGGGACCUCAAUAAAAAACUAAAAUCUAACAAGAUUUCAAUCAAAGAAUAUUGAUAGUUAGGGACCGCAUCCAAAGUGUCUCGAUAGAAAACUAUUUUGGGGACUCUUAAAUUUUGGGACUGUGCCAUGGAACCGGCAGCUCCCCCUCAAUCUCAGCUCUGAUUAUAAAUACAUGAUGGUGUUCUUGGAUGAGAUUCUCCAUCUUUUACAUGCUUUCUAGAACUUCGCUACAAUGGCUUUAACCCCAUGGUUUCUCCUUCUCAUCAGCCUCAUAUCUACUCUGCCAGUUGAUGUCACUCUAUCUGCUGCUCACCAGGAUACCCGGAAGGCAUUCAUAAAAUAUGCAUUUUGAACAAUUCCGUUUCUCUGCUCUAAAUAUGUUCAUUAAUUAAUUUAAUCUUCUGAUCUUGGAUAUAUUAACUGCAGGAUUAUAUUGUGUAUAUGGGUGACAAGCCAAAGCCAGAGGUUUCCACCACUACCACAUCAGCUUUUCAUGUAAACAUGCUACAAAACGUCAUCGAUGACAGGUUUAAUUAAUUAUCACAUAUGAUAGUGAGCUUAGUUAUAUAUACUGAUCAGUGUUUUAAAAUACUCGCAUCGAGGGCCUUAGUGGGUGGCUUGCCGUCUCUAUUUUGUGGGAGACGGCGAAAAACUCGGAUAGCUUCGUCGGGGCGUGCCUCAGGAUGUUUGAUUUGGCGUCAGUUUUGUUUAAAGGUUGUCGAAAUCUGAAAAAAAAAAAUUGAUUGAAAUCUGGGUUUUGUUUUCAGUUGCAUAGCAGUCUGAAGAAGAUGAAGAAGACCUCAAAAAUUGAUUGAAAUCUGGAUUGAAUUCUGGAUUUUUCUUUUUUUUUUUAUAUUAUUUUUUUCACUUUAUUAACCGCUGUUAAAUCAUAUCUUUUAGCAUAUUCUAUUUUGUAAGUUUUUGUUUUUUAUAUUAUUUAAUAGAUAUUAAAAAAAAUAAAAGAUAAACAGAGAAAAUAUUUUUAUUUUUAUGAAGUAUAUAGACCUAAAAAAACCUCAAAAGUGUUGGGUUUUAAAGAGACUUCACUACUUUGGAGAUAAACAUCUCCAAAGAAGAAUGUAAUGCAGCGGAAAUUGAUAGGCAAGAGAAAAAGAACACUCAAGGUAUAACACACAAAAACCUUUUAUUCUCACACAAACUAAUACAAGAGGAAUCACUCAAAACACUCUUAGAAGCUAUGGAUGCUUCUUCUACUUAUUCUCUUUUCUUUUAGGUAGAGAGCCUUCUUGUCUCUCUUACUUCUUCUUCUUUCUCUUUUCUUCACUUCUCAUUCUUAAACAUAACAACAUACUCUAUUUAUAGGCAAGUAUAACCAACCAUACCAAGUGUGAAUACCAAGUGUGAAAUCAUCCUAGCCAUUAUUCAUGACUCUACUAAAAGUAGCCCACCACCAUGGACUUUGCUUAUGGACACAAUGAACACAUGCCAUUCUUAUGCUAGAAUUGUCAAGCAUUUUCAAUGCAUGCACCGGCCACUUUUCUAGAAGCAAGAUUACCAUUCAACAAAAAGACCCUAAAAAAACUCAAAAUAUAUCUUUACUUUUUAACGUUAUACAUUACCCUUUAGUUUUCUUUUUAAGACUCCACAUCCACAUAUCUCAUCAAAAUAUUAUGUAUAUGUAUGUAUGUAUGUAUGUAUUGUAUGUAUAUUAAAAAAUUUAAGUUCCGUAAGGUUUCGCCUCACGCCUCAAGGCUUUCGUUUAGACGGAGCUAUCCAUAACACGCCUCAUCUACGCCUUCGCCUUUUAAAACAUUGAUACUGAUUAACAUUAUUCGUGACAAGGGUACCAUUUAAUUUAGUCAUCUCUCAUACAUACACAUCUUCUCUUUGUUUUUCAAGCUUAAUUAUGGCAGAGUUUGAAAGUGUCAAAUUUUUUAAGAUUUUGAUUUUUGACGUUUAUUUAUCCAGCAAUAUUGCGCACGAAUCUCUGCUUCUGCACAGCUACAAGAGAACCUUCAAUGGCUUUGCUGCCAAGCUAACAGAGGAAGAAGCACAGAAGUUGGCUGGUUGUCUUAUGAACCCAACUUAAUUUUAUUUUUCAACUUGAAUAAACAUUAAAAGUGACCGUUGUAUGACUUGAAAAAUAUAUGCAGGAAUGGAUGGUGUGGUGUCUGUUUUCCCUAGUGAAACUAAGAAGCUCCAAACAACAAGGUCAUGGGACUUCAUUGGGUUUCCUAAAAUAGUGAAGAGAAGCGCCAUUGAAACUGAUAUCAUUGUCGGGGUGAUUGACUCUGGAAUUUGGCCUGAAUCUGCCAGCUUCAGUGACGCCGGGUUUGGUCCACCCCCCAAAAGGUGGAAAGGCGCAUGCAAGGGCGAAGGCAAUUUUACUUGCAACAAGUAAAGCAAACCAGUUUAUUUCAACCAUCCACUGCACAUUUCAAAAAACUAAAAAACAAAACAUCUCGUGUUGUUGUUAAUUACACUUGGACAGAAACAAAAAGUGCGAACUUGAUUUAUAUGAUAUGUUGUCAAAUUGUAACUCUGACUUAAAUAAUAUGACAUACUGUUGUUACACUUGGACAGUAAAAUUAUCGGAGCACGGUAUUACCGCAGUCAACCCUACCCACAAAAUAGCAGUGAUAUCUUGUCUCCGAGGGACACGGAUGGCCAUGGAACCCACACUGCAUCAACAGCAGCAGGGAACUUAGUUAGCAAGGCAAGUCUGUAUGGUUUAGGGUUGGGGACAGCAAGAGGAGGGGUGCCAUCAGCACGCAUUGCGGUGUACAAAGUUUGUUGGUCAGAUGGGUGCCCGGAUGCUGAUAUUCUAGCGGCAUUCGAUGAUGCCAUAGCUGACGGUGUUGACAUACUCUCUGUCUCCCUUGGGGGGUUUAAACCGUUAGAUUAUUUCAGAAAUUCCAUUGACAUUGGAGCUUUUCACGCUUUAAGAAAAGGAAUAUUCACUUCCGCGUCUGCUGGCAAUGAAGGGCCAAACCUGAAAACUAUUACAAACUUUGCACCAUGGUAUCUUGCUGUGGCUGCUAGCACCAUAGAUCGCCACUUUGAUACCAAGGUUCUUGGGCAGAUGGCACUCAGAAUAUUUAUCUAGAGAGAUACUAGAGAAUUGAUUAAACAUGAAAGUUGAUUAUGAUUUGUUUUUGCUUCCUUGGUAGGGAAUAGUAACAAACACAUUUGAACUCAAGGGUAAAUUCUACCCCAUAGUAUAUGCUGCAGACGUUCCAGAUACGGCAGCUGGUUACGAUGGGGAAACAUCCAGGUAUGUGUACGCAUUUUGAGAGUAUAUAUACCAUUUAUAUUGAAGAACCACGGUAGUCUAGCAUAAGUCUAACCAGGUGCUAAUAACAUGGAUAUAUAUAUGGAGCAGGUUAUGCCGAAUAGGCACGUUAGACAAAAAAUUGGUGGAGGGUAAAAUUGUUCUUUGUGAUGGGCCUACUGGGUAUGGGGCUAUAUAUGCAGGCGCAUUUGGUUAUGUUUUGACAAGCCGAAAAGCAGCAGAUGUAAUCGAUCCUGUUCCAAUACCAGCAGCUUCCAUUUGGUUCCACCUUGGUAACGAAAUUGCCCAUUACCUAAACUCAACCAGGUAUCAAUAUUUGAGAAUGACAGUGCAUGAUUGAUUUAAAAUAUUACUAAUGCGCCCGUUUGUUAGAGUAGGGCCCAACGGGCCUGUUGAUCCAAAAAUUCCAGUGAGCUUGUCACCAAGAAGGAAACAAGCCAGGACUCUUAACAAAGAGCCGGCAUCUGAGUUCCUUUAAAAACAAGUCUAGACUCUUAACAUAGAGCUGACCUCCGAGUUUCAAUUGCCGAUGUGUUGAUCUCUACGUAUGAACCACUAAAUGGGGUUACACGUGAGGGGAAGUGUUGGAAUCCUACAUCGAUGGGUGCAAAAGAAAAUAACGGGUUUAAGUAUGAUUGCCCCAUUCUAACUAAUAUCGAGGCCUUCUGUAAUAAAAUCUCACACCUGACGGAUUGGGUAUGUAGUAAAGUUAAGGACAUUAUUAAUGUUGUUAGAGUAGAGCCCAACGGGCCCCCCGAUCCAAAAAUCCAACAAAACUAACAUAAAUCAAAAGACCCCUUUUAUGUUAUUGCUAAUAAAUCCUGAAUCCCUGUAAUGAUUCGCAGGAACCCAACCGCAACAAUUUGGAAAAGUACUGAGGGUAUGGAUGCACUGGCACCAUACGUACCUUCAUUCUCAUCAAGGGGUCCAAAUCCAAACACUCCUAACAUUCUCAAGGUAACUUCAAGGCCCCGUAGGUGUGUGAAUGCUGACUUAAAAAAAUGAACAAACCGAAUCAUGAAUAUUGAGGGGUCUUAAUUUUCCUCCUUGUUUUCUCCUAUAUGUUGCAGCCAGAUAUCGCUUCUCCUGGAGUUUCCAUUCUAGCAGCAUGGUCUCCAAUUGCCCCAGUUUCAGGUUUUGAAGGUGAUGACAGGGUAACUUCAUACAAUAUUAUCUCGGGGACAUCAAUGGCAUGCCCACAUGCUGCGGGCGUGGCUGCAUACGUCAAAUCAUUUCACCCCAAUUGGUCACCUGCUGCUAUCCUGUCAGCUCUUACGACUACUGGUAUAGAUGCAUUUUCAUAAAUGUACCAAUUACAAUACAACCGUUCUCUCACAUAUUUGAUGAGUUGUGUGACCAAUUAUUAUCAGAGAUCAUGUGACCAAGUCUUGUGAGAGAGACACUACAUAUAAUUAGACUUUGACCAUGAUGUACAUUGUAUUACCUAAGAUUUAUAUGUUUGAUUAAUUUGUAACGAUUUUGCAGCCAAACCUAUGAGUGCAAAUCUUAACCCUGAAGCCGAAUUCGCGUACGGUGCUGGCCUACUAAAUCCUAGUAGGUCUCCGUAUCCUGGUUUGGUAUACGACGCUGUUGAAAUCGAUUACGUAAAUUUUUUGUGUGCACAAGGCUAUAGUACCAAAUUAUUGAAAGCUCUUACCGGGGAUAGCUAUAGCUGCUCAUCAUCACAAUCUAGUCAUGGAACACUCAGUGAUCAUCUAAACUAUCCUUCUGUUGCACUUUCCACCUCGAACCCUAAAUCCGUCAAAGGCAUUUUCAAUAGGACCGUCACAAAUGUUGGAUCACCAAAGUCCACAUAUAAAGCUAAAGUGAGUGCACCACCAGGACUUGAAAUCAAAGUUAAUCCAAGCGUUCUAAAGUUCACAUCUCUCGGGCAGAAGCUAUCGUUUCAAGUCAUGGUGAAAGGGUUGAUUGAAAAAACCAUAGUCUCUGGUUCUCUGGUGUGGGAUGAUGGUAAAUUCCAAGUGAGGAGCCCCAUUGUUGUGUAUUUUGUGUUUUGAGAACAAUAUGUGUAAUAAUGUAUGAUGCAUGAAUAAGCAAUUGCAUGAAACUAGAUAGGGCUUCAAUGAAACAAAAUUGCAACAUAUUGAUCACGAUGAUGUAUUUUAAAUGAAAACUAAAUUAUUAUAUAUUUAUGAACCUUUAAUAUGAUGUAGUACAUCGAAGUACAUUGAAAUUUGAAACGUACCCAUUUAAGGAUAUUUUAUAGCUCUCUAUGCAAUCUAAUUGUAUAUUUGAUAGUUCAUUUUUGGUCUGCAUGGGAAAUAUGGAUUUUCUCCUAUGUUGAUUACUUGAUUGAAGGCCCCAUCCCUCGUUGCCCGUUUAUACAGGUUGUACCUAUCACUAAAUCAAGUUAUCAACGAGACUUUAGUCGGAACCUUCCUGAUUAAAAACAAAAGACCGAAAAACUUCGGUGGGGACAUUUGCAAACAACGACGUAUACACAUGAAAAAUAUCAGAGUAGCAUCAUGUAUCGGUGGCAUAAAAAUCUUUACGCACCCACGUGUUCUAGAUGUUGGCACAUGAUCAUGCAUCGAUAGAUAUACGUAUGCACAAUGCAUGCCCUACCAUGCAAAUUAUGCCAAGAACAACAAUCAAUCGAGUGACCAGUGGUGGGAGAGCUAGGAAUAUUAGCAAGCUGCAUUUUCUCAAUUCCCACUCUCACUUGUUUGAGCAUACCGACUAAGAUGCUUGUUUCUUGACUUGUGGAUGUAUCCCAAGGUCAAUAUGGAUGCAUGGCAUGCGAUGUACGUCAGGAGGUUUUUCUUCUUUUCAAAAGCAGUAUAUGUUGGAAAAGUUAGACAUGGAAUUGAUACCACAGUUAAUAUGCUUUUGUACCUCAUUCCCUAUAACCAAAAAUUGCUUCAAGUAAAAAUUACCUUAUUUCGCAACAUUUCUUCAACUGGCUACUGGCUCUCUAGUUUUUCAAUUGUCAUCAUGGUCCAAGUACCUAAGCUGGGUCGGAUCAUUUUCUUCUUUGAGCAGAAGGACGUUAACCAUCGGAUUACCCUCGAUGAUUGCACAUGUUAUGCACUAAGAAAAGGUUGCAAGCGGUUAUUUGCUUGUAGAGCUACCGGCUGCCUUAUAGUACAAACUAGAAAGUUCUACCCGAACGUUGCUGCAGGAUUAAAAAUUGUGUAAAAAAAAUUAUGUUUCAAAGGUAUAAACCUAUCAACUUGUAUCACAUCUAACUGAACUACAACAACAUAUUGAAACACUUAAUAUGAAAUUCAUAAGCUAUUUGACAAUAUGAAAUCAAGCAAUUAUUGAAAAUCAGAAACGGAGCUUAGAAAGUAAAAAAUCCUACCUCAUUAUAUUAAAACAAUUAACAAAUUCUCGGUGAAUGAUCACAAAAAAUGCUCAGUUCUCACCAUAAUGAAAAUUAUGACAUCGUUUUAACAUGAACUCGAGUUCAUUUUAGUCACCAGCAUUAAUAAAACAAGUGACUUCAACCUGUGCAAGGAAACAACUGACUUAGACGCAAGCCAACCAACUUUGAAUCUAACCAAAUAAAAAAAGUAAUCACAAUCGAACUAACCUCUUCUUCCCAAAUGAAGUAGAUGUCCCCUGUUUUGCCAUUGUGAACAGUGUACUCUACUCUCAACACACAAAAAGAACACACUCAAAUUGCUGAGCAAUAUUAUAAAAGCUACACAUACAUCAUUGUAUAUAUAUUUGGACAUAAAGUAUAAAGAUCUGCUGACAGUAUCAAGCUUAAAUUUAACAAAAGCAGUAAUUACGAAUUGAAAUCAAACGAUAAUAUGGUUGUUAAAAAAAAUUCUAACUAAAUUUUACAAAUAGCAUCAUAAAUGUUAAAAAAAAAUAACACCAUUGAAAAAACUCAUUACUCAAAUAUGUAAUUCUAUAAAAACACAUCACUGAAAACUUCAAUUUCAUGUCAACCUAUAUCACAUCCAAAACCCAUUAAUAAUCUCUUCUUGUGUAUAGCUUGUCCUCAGAAUUCGCAGCUGAAAACGGAAUGUAAGUUCAGAGUAUGAUGAAAAAGAAGAAAUGAAAGAGUUGUGUCAAUGAAAAAAAAUGAGAGAGCGGGUAUCAGAACAAUCUACAAAGAAGAAGAAUUUGAGAUAAAUAAGUGGAUAAAUUGCUUACAUGAAGAGCUGAUUUCAAAUCGAUGAUCCAUUUCUCACCCAAAUAAUAUUUAACAAUUGCAAUUAGUAAAAUUUUCUUGAUAAGAUGAAAUCUAGGAGCAUAAUAAUAAGCAUUAGAAAUAGAAAAGCCUUAUAUGGUGAUUAAGGCCCUUAAUUAACUUGCGAAGCUUGAAAAGUCAUUCUCUUCACGUGGUUAAUUUGGAAGUUAUCCAAUGUAUGUAAAAACAUGAAUCAGAAGCAAAUUGAUGAAAUCGGAGGGAAAAAAUGUUACUUAGUAAUUGUAUAUGUUAUGAAGGCAUCAAAUAAAGUCCUGAUAAAAUACCAGCAUCUUUAUAUUAACCACUUUACAUAUAAAUUAUAAAUGAUUAUCAAACAUCCUUAAACAAAUUUCAUUUAGGGAAGACUGAUGAGGGAACUCCGCCUAUGUAAUUUUACAUUGCCGGUCCCAAGCCCGGAUAAAGGAGGAGGGGGAGGGCGUCAGGUAGUCGACAGCCUGCACUCCAUGAUCACGUCGAAUCCUUAUGAAAAUGAAUCCAGAACAAAAUCGCGCUAAAGCUAGGGCGUCACCCGUAAGUGGCGCGCUGUGUGGCCCGAGCACAGUGAUAAGUGAGCAAGGGUCGCUGUAUCUCCAUCGGCACCCGGAUGCAGUGUUAAAUGAGCAAGGGGGCCGUAGAAACUUCUUUUCGAACGACUCCACUCAAAGUUGUUUGGGAGCAUAUGCUCCUAUCAACUUUACACGGGACACACAAAAGAAGUACUUUGAUCCUAUUAGACGGGGGAGGGUGAAGAAGCUAGGACAGAAGGGUAGAGUUCAAGAGAGCAAAAUGCGUUUAGGAACGUGGAAUAUAGGAACCUUAACGGGAAAAUCUAUGGAAGUAGUGGAAGUUAUGGUGAGGAGAAGGAUAAAUAUUAUGUGCCUACAAGAAACUAAGUGGGUUGGUAGUAAGGCAAAUGAUCUAGAAAACUCAGGGUUUAAACUUUGGUAUUCGGGCACAAAUAGAACGAGAAACGGUGUUGGCAUCAUCGUGGACAAGACCUUGACACAAGAUGUUGUAGAUGUCAAGAGGGUAGGAGAUAGAAUCAUGGCAAUCAAGAUUGUAAUAGGACAAGAACUUAUCAAUGUGAUUAGUGCGUACGCACCUCAAGUAGGGUUGGAUACGAGUUCGAAGGAGAAAUUUUGGGAAGACCUUGGAGACUUGGUGCAAGGAAUUGCUCAGACGGAGAAGUUAUUUAUAGGAGGAGAUCUAAAUGGACACGUGGGCAGGGAGACAGGCAACUAUGGAGGUUUUCAUGGUGGCCAUGGUUUUGGAGAGAGAAACGAGGAUGGGGAAGCUAUCUUGGAUUUUGCAAUGGCAUAUGAUCUCUUCUUAGCCAACACCUUCUUUAAGAAGAGAGAAGAACAUGUGAUCACCUACAAGAGUGGGUCGUCAAAAACACAAAUAGAUUUUCUUCUAAUGAGGAAAGGGGAUCGUAUAACUUGUAAGGAUUGCAAAGUUAUACCAGGAGAGAGCGUGGCUAAUCAACAUCGCUUGUUGGUGAUGGAUGUACAUAUCAAAAGAGGGAGACAAAAGAACAAGACUUGGAAGUGCCCAAGGACUAGAUGGUGGAAUCUAAAAGAAGAAAAACAAGCCAUUUUCAAAGAGAAGGUAAUCACCCAAUGUGUGUGGGAUAGAGAGGGGGAAGCUAGCCAAAUGUGGGAUUCCAUGGCUAGUUGUAUCCGAAAAGUAGCAAAAGAGGUAUUAGGAGAGUCCAAGGGCUUUGCCCCACACCAAAAGGAAUCUUGGUGGUGGAAUGAGGAGGUACAAACAAAGGUGAAGGCUAAGAAGGAAUGUUGUAAAGCCUUAUACAAGGAGAGGACCGAUGAAAAUGGUGAAAGGUAUAGAAAAGCGAAGCAAGAGGCGAAGAAAGCGGUCAGAGAAGCUAAGUUAGCGGCUUACGACGAUAUGUAUAAACGACUAGAUACCAAAGAAGGAGAGUUGGAUAUCUAUAAAACUAGCUAGAGCAAGGGAAAAGAAGACAAGGGACCUAAACCAAGUGAGGUGCAUCAAGGAUGAGGAUGGAAAGGUUCUUGCUACAGAGAACGCGGUUAAAGACAGAUGGAGAGGUUAUUUUCAUAAUAUUUUCAAUGAAGGACAUGAAAGGAGUGCUUCUUUAGGGGAGUUGAGUAACUCAGAAGAGUGUAGAAACUACUCUUUUUAUCGUCGAAUCCGGAAGGAAGAAGUGGUUGUAGCUUUGAAGAAGAUGAAGCAUAGAAAAGCAAUAGGCCCAGACGAUAUACCAAUUGAAGUGUGGAAAGUUUUGGGAGAGACAGGUAUAACAUGGCUCACUGACCUUUUCAAUAGGAUUUUGAAAACAAAGAAGAUGCCAAAUGAGUGGCGAACGAGCACUUUGGUGCCUAUCUACAAGAAUAAGGGCGACGUACAAAAUUGCAUGAACUAUAGGGGUAUUAAGUUAAUGAGUCAUACAAUGAAGCUCUGGGAGAGAGUCAUUGAGCAUAGAUUGAGGCAAGAGACACGGGUUUCGGACAACCAAUUCGGGUUCAUGCCAAGGCGCUCAACCAUGGAGGCAAUCUAUCUCUUACGAAGAUUGAUGGAAAGAUAUAGAGAUGGGAAAAAGGAUUUACACAUGGUCUUUAUAGAUUUGGAAAAAGCGUAUGAUAGGGUCCCAAGAGACAUUCUUUGGAGGAUCUUAGAGAAGAAAGGAGUACGAGUAGCAUAUAUCCAAGCUAUAAAGGAUAUGUAUGAAGGAGCAAAGACUGCCGUAAGAACUCAUGAAGGACAAACCGAAAGCUUUCCCAUAACUGUAGGAUUACAUCAAGGCUCAUCCUUAAGUCCUUACCUUUUUGCGUUGGUAAUGGAUGAGUUAACAGGACAUAUUCAAGAUGAUAUUCCUUGGUGUAUGCUUUUCGCAGACGAUAUAGUGUUGAUAGAUGAAACUCAGGAAGGGGUAAAUGCAAAGCUUAACCUUUGGAGAGAAGUGUUGGAAUCUAAAGGUCUUCGCCUAAGCCGAUCAAAGACAGAAUAUAUGGAGUGCAAGUUCAGUGCAGAUGGAGGCCAAAACGAGUUAGGGGUGAGGAUCGGAGAUCAAGAAAUACCAAAGAGCGACCGUUUUCGUUACCUAGGAUCUAUCUUGCAAAAGAACGGAGAAUUAGAUGGAGAUCUCAACCAUAGAAUACAAGCUGGAUGGAUGAAGUGGAAGAGUGCAUCUGGCGUGUUGUGUGAUCGCCGUAUGCCAUUGAAGCUCAAGGGAAAAUUUUAUAGGACGGCAAUAAGGCCGGCGAUGCUGUAUGGCACAGAAUGUUGGGCGGUGAAGCAUCAACACGUACACAAAAUGGGUGUAGCGGAGAUGAGGAUGCUUCGUUAGAUGUGUGGGCACACGAGAAAGGAUAAAAUUAGGAAUGAGGAUAUCCGGGGUAAAGUAGGAGUAGCCGAAAUUGAAGGAAAGAUGAGAGAAAAUCGGUUACGGUGGUUUGGACAUGUGCAAAGAAGGCCUACUGACGCUCCGAUUAGAAGAUGCGACUAUGGGACAGAGGUUCAGGGCCGAAGGGGUAGAGGAAGACCUAGGAAAACUUUGGAAGAGACUCUAAGAAAAGACUUAGAGUACUUGGAUCUAACGAAGGACAUGACACAGGACCGAGCACAAUGGGACGUUCUAAGGCGUUCUAAUUCAUAUAGCCGAUCCCACUCAGUGACUUGGAUUUUCCAAGUCUCCAACCGAGAAGUUUUCCUCACUCGAAAAAUUAAGGGAACACUACCCCAACCUACAUGCUCCACUCAGAAAGCUUCAACAUACAAGCUUCAACAAAAGAAAAUUCAAAAGAACUUAGUGAAGAAGGCUUUGGUGUAUUUAACACAAUACGUUGAAAUGAAGGAAAACUUAUUUAUUGAUAUCCCCGAUAAGCUACAAAUAUGUACAUAUACAUGAGUCAAAAUAAACAAACAAGAUGGAGCCUUCACAAAGGUUGCUUAGGAGAAGUCUCAGCAGUCGGUAGAGCCCCAGAAAGAGAAGGCAUCGGAGGGGGAUCAUUCGGAGCCUCAGUACUGGACAGAACCCUAGAAGGAGGAGGCAUCAGAGGUUGAUCAUUUGGAGCUUCAUUACGCGGUACAGCCCCAGAAGACGAAGGCAAUAAAUGCCUUUGGAACAAACCCACAAAUCUCUGAUGAUCAAGUAAAACCUGACCAUCAGUUUCCUUCAUCUGGUCAAGCUUCCUCUUUCAUGUUUGUAGCAUAGUCAUGUGCGAGCCGGUGCAACUGUUUAUUCUCAUGCUUGAGCCCUCUAAUCUCCUGUUUGAGACUCAUCACUUCGGCCGCCAAUGAUUUCAACUUGGCGGGUUCGAGCAAAUAUAGGCGUUGGGCCAUAUUAGACACAGAACCUGCACACUGAACACUGAGAGCCAGUGAAUCCUUAACAGCUAACUCAUCAGACCGUUUGGAAAGUAGUCUGUUAUCUUUGGGAGUGAGAAGGUUCCUGGCCACCACCGCAGCGGUCAUAUCAUUCUUCAUCACGGAAUCCCCAACGGUAAGAGGACCAGUAGGGGAGACGAAGGAUGGGCGCCAUAUGUUGUCUGGAGAAGGCGGGGCUGCCUCUUCAACAAGGUUCAAGUCAAAACGACGGUCGGAGGGGCCAGACAUUUUCAAAGGGUAUUGAAGAGAGAAGAGGUCGGACAAAUCAAGAUCUUAGAAGUGCAAGAAUGGAGCUUCUACUGGUGGAGAUUCAAGUGUGCUUUGGAACUUAAUGCCAGCCCCUAUAAAAAGCUGCACUCGACGGAGCUUCAGACAUCGAAGAGGCGCCUGCUCAGAAAUCGAAGAGGCGUUUGCUUUCUCAAAAGCUGGGCUGCUUAGAGACCACGAGGGUUGAUCUCAUAAAUCGAAGAGGUGUCUGCUUUCUCAAAAGUUGGGCUGCUCAAAGACCACGAAAGCCGAUAUCAGAAAUCGAAGAGGCGCUCGCUUCCUCAAAAGCUGGGCUCCUCAGAGACCACGAGGGCCGAUCUCAGAAAUCGAAGAGGCACCUACUUUUCCAGCCUUGUCAGCACCUGUCACACGCACACUCAACUUUGCGGAAAUUAUGGGUAUUCUGUUGAAGACUUCUGGGGAAGUAGAAAACACAUGAAUCUUACUGUCCAAUCACCCACUUCCCACACGCAGCAAUAGCUCAUGGGUACCACAGAUAACUUUGCCAAAGUUCUCUGCCAAAGUUGAGCACGUGAAGCUUGCAGCUCCCACUACAUCGCUCUGACCAAUAAGGGUAAAAGAAUAGCAAAGAAACAGCACUAACAAAGUUUAGACCCAUAAAUUUUGAAGGUCUAGCUACCAUAUUAUUACCCACAAGGGUAAAGGAACAGUACCACUGUUGGAUAAUUGGAAAGUCCCUGUGUGUCAACCUCUGUGCCUCGUGGCAAGGUAGACUAGCAAACAUGCCCAACCUUUACUCACAUUCGAGAAAACACUCCCAAUAAGAUUGCUUGCUCCAAAAUCGAAGAGGCACCGUCCUCCGAAUCUCGAGAGCCAGACUCCCAACAUGACUACUUUCUCAAAAAUCGAAGAGAGGGUAAAGGAAACAGUACCAUUGCUGGAUAAUUGGAAAGUCCCUGUGUGUCAACCUCUGUGCUUCGUGGCAAGGUAGACUAGCAAACAUGCCCAACCUUUACUCUCACAUUCGAGAAAAACACUCCCAACAAGAUUGCUUGCUCCCAAAAUCGAAGAGGCACCGCCCUCCGAAUCUCGAGAGCCAGACUCCCAACAUGAUUACUUUCUCAAAAAUCGAAGAGACACUGCUCCCCGAAUCUCGAGAGCCAGACCCCCACCCCCAACAUGAUUGCUUUCUCAAAAAUCGAAGAGGCAUCGUUCUCCCGAAUCAAUCGAAGAGGCGCUCGCUUUCUCUCAAAAGCUGGGCUGCUCAGAGACCACGAGGGCCAAUCUCAGAAAUCGAAGAGGCACCUUCUUUUUCUAGCCUUGUCAGCACCUGUCACACGCACACUUAGCUUUUGCGGAAAUUAUGGGCAUUCUGUCGAAGACUUCUGGUGAAGUAGAAAGCACAUGAAUCUUACUGUUCAAUCACCCACUUCCCACACGCAACAAUAGCUCAGGGGUACCACAGAUAACUUUGUCAAAGUCUCUGCCAAAGUUGAGCACGUGAAGCUUGCAGCUCCCACUACAUCGCUCUGACCAAUAAGGGUAAAAGAAUAGCAAAGAAACAGCACUAACAAAGUUUAGACCCAUAAAUUUUGAAGGUCUAGCUACCAUAUUAUUACCCACAAGGGUAAAGGAACAGUACCAUUGCUGGAUAAUUGGAAAGUCCCUGUGUGUCAACCUCCGUGCUUCGUGGCAAGGUAGACUAGCAAACAUGCCCAACCUUUACUCACAUCCGAGAAAACACUCCCAACAAGAUUGCUUACUCCAAAAUCGAAGAGGCACCGCCUUCCGAAUCUCGAGAGCCAGACUCCCAACAUGAUUACUUUCUCAAAAAUCGAAGAGACACUGCUCCCCGAAUCUCGAGAGCCAGACCCCCACCAUGAUUGCUUUCUCAAAAAUCGAAGAAGCAUCGUUCUCCGAAUCUCGAGAGCCAGAUACCACAUACCACUUUUUCAAAGUGCUCUGACAGAGUUAAAACAUGUGAAGCUGGCAGCUCCCACUACCGUGCUAUGACCAAGCAGGGUAAAGGAAUAGCAUUACUACUUGUUGUUAGGGAGACUCCUAUAUAUGUCGACCUCCAUCCCCAACGGACAGGCAGACCUGCAAAAAUGCUCAACCCUUCCUCAUAUCUGAGAGGGCACUCCCAACGAAGCCUUUCGAAAUAUUCAGCUUUCUUUCCCCCCGAUAAUACCUUUGCAAACAAGCUAUACUAGAGCAAGAAUAUCUCAUAUCAUCAGGGUUAAAAGCAAGAGUAUCCCAUAUCAUGCUUUUUCCCUGUCUUUUCCUUUGGCCUUGUUUUUACCUGCAAGACAAGGAGAAAGAGAGCAAUCAGUCAGCACUUGAAAUCAAGCUUCCAGCCAGGAACUGACAGCCUGGAACCCCUUACCUGAUUACUUACCUGGCAUUGCUCUCGAGUACUCAUCUUCAACAUCUUAUGUUGCCAGGGAAGAUACCGCAUCUGCUUGAGGAACAGAUAGGGCAAGUGCGAAGGAUACAAGGAAGCAUGUGGAGACAAGCGUAACAGCACACGUGCCGAUCCAUCCAUUACUCUGUCAAAAGCAAAAGUAUCCCAUAUCAGCAGGGCCGAACGUACUCUAGAUUUGAUGGACUUGUUUUGACCCUCAAAUUCUUCAGUCGGCCUUAUACUCUGGAGGAAACCAGAAAACCCUCCAGCUCAGUUCAAGAAUAAGCCUGUGGAAAGUUACUUCUUCAAAAGCAAAAGUAUAUCCCAUAUCAUCUCUUCUCAUUUUUCUUCUCUUUAUCCUUCAUGCUGCUGCAAGAUGGGGAGAAGGUGAACAAUCAGCCGGAGCUCUGAUUGCUUACCUUGUCUGUCACCUCUUUCAGCAAAUCCCCUAGCUCGGCGACUUGGGGGACUCCUACUACAUGGUUUGUAUCGCGCUUGACCAAGCCUGAAACUACAAGUAAGCUUCAAGUGAAAUUGAUACAUUACCUAGUGCAUCUCCACCAGUUAAAGAUACCACCCCUGGAUGGAGGAAGAGUACUUCCAGAGAGCUGCCACAUCUACCUAUGAGACAGAUAAGGCAAGUCAAGAUGAUACCACACUCCGAUACUUAGAAGUUUCGUGAUUACGAGAUCAUUCUCCCACAAUAUUUCCUAAUGUCAUUUGUACUCACUAAAGGAGAGCUUGAACCUAUGUACUUGUGUAAACCCUUCACAAUUAAUGAGAACUCUUCUAUUCCGUGGACGUAGCCAAUCUGGGUGAACCACGUACAUCUUGUGUUUGCUUUCCUAUCUCUAUCCAUUUAUAUACUUAUCCACACUAAUGACCGGAGCAAUUUAGCGAAGAUCACAAAAAGCGACCGUUUUCGCUACCUAGGAUCUAUCUUACAAGAGAACGGAGAAUUAGAUGGAGAUCUCAACCAUAGAAUACGAGCUGGAUGGAUGAAGUGUAAGAGUGCAUCCAGCAUGUUGUGUGACCGUCGUAGGCCACUGAAGCUCAAGGGAAAAUUUUAUAAGACGGCAAUAAGGCCAGCGAUAUUGUAUGGCACAGAAUGUUGGGCGGUGAAACAUCAACACGUACACAAAAUGGGUGUAGCAGAGAUGAGGAUGCUUCGUGGGAUGUGUGGGCACACGAGAAAGGAUAAGAUUGAGAAUGAGGAUAUCCGAGGUAAAGUAGGAGUAGCCGAAAUUGAAGGAAAGAUGAGAGAAAUCGGUUUUGGUGAUUUGGACAUGUGCAAAGAAGGCCGACUGACGCUCUGGUUCGAAGAUGUGACUACGGGACAGAGGUUCAGGGCCGAAGGGGUAGAGGAAGACCUAGGAAAACUUUGGAAGAGACUCUAAGAAAAGGCUUAGAGUACUUGGAUCUAACGGAGGACAUGACACAAAACCAAGCGCAAUGGCGUUCUAGGAUUCAUAUAGCCGACCCCACUUAGUGGGAAAAGGCUUUGUUGUUGUUGUUGUUGUUGUUGUUGAAGACUGAUGAGGGGAUAUACGACUCACAAACAACUGAGACUGUCCUUUUUUUUUUCUUCUUUUUUUCAUAUCAACAAACACACAAAUUCUUAUAUUUCCGAAAGCACUUGCAUCCCAACAUAAAAACUUAAAUAAUACAUGAAUCAUCGAUGUUUUGCUUUGCAAACAGCCAAGGGGAUGGGAACUAAAAUAAAUUUCGUGACCAAGAACCUCUUAAAAACCAAGCUUGAAAGCAUAAAAACAAAGCUUUCAAUCUUUCUGUGCAAAUUAAUAUCAUAAUCAAUUCAACCACAUUUCCGCAAUCCAAAGCUUCAAACUUCAUACAAAAAUACAAUAAUUUUUAGAAUUUCACCCAAACAUAAAGAGAAUAAUAUUGUUAGGUGCGGAGAAGAAAAAACCAGGGAAAAAUGGAAGAUGGAUUUUAGCCUGGAAAAGCAAUUCACAGCAACAAUAAAAAGGUGAAAUUAAAAACUCAAUUGAAUCAAAUGAAGAAUUUUCUAGAGUGCAAACAAUUAGUGUUAUCAGCAAGAAGUUUCAGACCAUAAAAUGCAAAAGCAUGUGCCCAAAAUGCAAUCCUAUAAAACAUGAAACAGCAGCCAUAAGAUAAUCGGAAAUUUUCUAAUAAAAUGAACCGAAGACCAACUUUGAAUAAUUGGUAACGAUGAGGCUUUGACAUUGAUAGAGUGUGUAUGAGAGAGAGAGAGAGAGAGAGAGAGAGAGAUGGAAAUAGAGUUAGAAUUAGACCAAUGCAGAAAUCAACCUUAAGAUUCCCUCUGGGUCAAAUGGUUGCACCAUUGAUGAGAAACAGUCGGUCGGUAGAGGUUGAUAGUAGGAGAACUAACAUUGCAUUCCUGAAACACAAAGGAUUAACCUUUUUCAAUUAUCAUCAGUGAAUGCACUAAUACAGGACUUAAAUUCUGAUAUAUUCAAUAAUCUAGUUGUAAGAACUAUAUCACAGAUCAAAGAUAUGCCAGUAAGUUACCAAUACUCCAACAAUCGAACUAAGUGACAAAACUACAAACACGAAUAUGAAACCAAUGGAAAACAUACCUGCAGAACUUGAACUCGAAGAAGCCAUAGCAGCUUCACAACCAAGCAAUCUUCUCCUCUUUAGCAAAACUAGAAAACUCUCUGAAUAAUAGGUAUUCAAUACAAGAUGAGCCGUGUCUUUGCAAGAGCAGUGAUUGAGGUUAUAUACAACAUUAAUCCAACUCAUUCUCCUAUUAGAAUUAGUGUUGAACUCUAAAACAAAACCUUUUCACACAAUGAGUGUACAAGAUCAAUUAGUGUAGGAUCCGAAACCUUUUCCAGAGGAACACUAAAAGCACUCAUAAUCCUACAAGGACGAGGAUUCAACCAAACACCUUAUCAAGACUUUUCCAUUCAAGAAUUCAUCCAAUAUUAUAGCUAAUCCUCAAACAUGUUUCAUACUCAUAUUCCAACAUUCUCCCACUUGAGUAUGAAGACAUAAUGAUUAACUAAAUGAAUGAUGGAAGUGAUCACUAAGUCUAAUCAUAAGGCUCGCAAUUUCGUAUUCAAACUCACCUAUGCAAUUCAAAAUAUGGAACUCUUGAAUUCUAUCUGCACAAUUUCAGAUUUCAUCCAAGAAUUACAACAUAUCCAAGUUUGCAUGUUGUAACUGUACGAAUCAAUAAUCACAGUAAUGCCAAUACUCAUUACUCCCACUGAUUUAUGCCAAUUUUAACCCAAUCACAGUUAAAAUCUCAGCAAACAAUCAAAACAACAACCAUUCAAAACAGAACAGUACUCUAAAUAGUUCCAAAGUAUACCUCAGCAAAAUCACAAACUGAUUCACUAGCAAACUCAAACUAUUCUUAUUUCAAUACUAGCUUUCUGAAACAAUCAAUCACUAAAACGAAAAAAAAUUGAAUACUGAUGAAAACAAAAAUAAAAGUCAAGCUGGAAAAUUAGCUAGAUAAAGAUACCAGCUUGUCACAACUAAUUGAACUCGAGAAAUCUUCAAUUGCGGCAACAUAUAACCACUGCAGCCUUAAAAUAAUCCCAAAACCUGAUCACUGCUCACUCCCACUUAUCAAAAGAUUCUAACACUCCCAUUUUAGUAACAUGUGCCUUAAACGCAUUGUUUGGCAAGGCUUUAGUAAGAGGAUCAGCAAUCAUCUUUUCAGUAGGCAAAUAUAGAAUUUCGAUCUCUCCUUUUUUCACCAUUUCUCUGACUUUAAGAAACUUCACAUCCAUUAGUCUUGACGCUGAGGUUCUCUUAUUGUUCUUGGAGAAAAACACUGCAGCAUUAUUGUCACAAAACAUCUUUAAAGGCCUUUUAACUGAGUCAACAAUUCUCAUCUCAGCCACAAAGUUUCUCAACCAUACUGCUUGUUUCAUUCCUUCAAAACACGCAACGAAUUCAACUUCCAUUGUAGAAGUAGACACUAUUGUUUGCUUAGCACUUUUCCAGGAGAUAGCACCAUCAUUUAGCAUAAAGAUGUAUCCCCCAGUUGAUUUCCUCUCAUCUACGUCCCCAGCAAGAUCUGAAUCUGUAGACCCAACCAAUUCUAAGGUAUCAUCUCUGCCAUAAACUAAUUGAUAAGCUUUUGUUCUCUGCAUGUAUCGUAAUACUUUCUUUGCAGCCACCCAAUGAGAUUCUCCUGGAUUUGUUUGAAACCUUCCUAACAUUCCAACAAUGAAUGCUAAGUCAGGCCUCGUACAAAUAUUAGCAUACAUAAUGCUUCCAACUAAUGAGGCAUAAGGCUUCAACUUCAUCAAUUCGACCUCAUUCUCAUUCUUGGGACAUUGAUCUCUAGAAAACUUGUCACCUUUAUUAACUGGAAUUUGCCUUAUUGCAUUUCUCCAUAUUAAAUCUGUUCAAUACCCUUUCAAUGUAUCCCUUUUGAGACAGCCCCAGAAGCUUUCUUUUUCUGUCUCUUGUUAUUUCAAUCCCCAGAACAUAAUGUGCUUCCCCUAAAUCCUUCAUUUCAAAAUUGGUACUCAGAACAGUCUUCGUCUCUCGAAGUAAUUGCAUAUCGGAACUUGCAAGUAGAAUAUCAUCAACGUAUAGGACCAGAAAAAUGAACUUUGAUCCUUUGUGUUUUAAAUAUAUGCAAUCAUCCAUCUUGUUCUCAACAAAACCAUGAGCAGUAACUACCUGAUCAAAUUUGAGGAACCACUGCCUAGAUGCUUGUUUAAGUCCAUAAAUUGACUUGUUUAGCUUGCAGACCAUAUUAUCUUUCCCCUUUCAGAAAAUCCAGGAGGUUGGACCAUGUAUAUGUCUUCCUCUAAAUCACCAUUCAGAAAGGCGGUUUUAACAUCCAUCUGGUGUAGCUCUAGAUCAAAAUGAAAUGUCAAAGCCAUGAUGAUCCUCAUAGAAUCUUUGGAAGAAACAGGUGAAAACGUGUCAUUGUAAUCAAUCCCUUCUCUCUGAGUAAAGCCUUUGGCUACUAACUGAGCCUUGUAUCUCUCUAUGCUCCCUGCAGCAUCCCUUUUAGUUUUGUAGACCCACUUGCAACCUAUUGGUUUAGCAUUUGAAUUGGAGUUCACAAGGGUCCAUACUUUGUUCUUGGCCAUGGAAUCUAGCUCUUCCAUCAUCGCUUUCUUCCAUAAUGCAGCUUGAGAACAUUGAAUUGCUUGUUGAUAAGUGGCUGGAUCAUCUAUAUCACCUAUGUCGAAUUCUGCCUCUUGGAGAUAGACAUAAUCGGUUGAAAUUGCAGGUUUCUUGGCUCUACUUGAUUUCCUCAGAUUCAAUUGAUCAUUUACUGGACAUGUAUCUUUCUCAAUGGGAGAACUUGGAGCACUUAGGGGUAUAUUUCUUGCAGAAAAGGUAUCUCCAUGUUCAUUUUGUAUUUCAGCAACUAUUUCAUGUGUCAUCUCUUCAUCAAGAUCUUCUUCCUCUGUCUGAUUUCUAGGCAACACUGAAAUAUGGUUGUAGGCCAUUGGAACCGAGCCAACGAGUUGUUCUGAUUCUUCAAACUCAAAAGUGUCAUGCACUAAGUCUGAUACAUCUUGGUCUUCUAAGAAAACUGCAUUGUAAGUCUCUUGAAUUCUUGUCUGUGCUCGAGGACAAUAAAAUUUAAAACCCUUCGAUUUCUCUGAAUAUCCCACAAAGUAGCAUGAACUGGUUCUAGAAUCGAGCUUCCUUUCAUUUGGGUUGUAAAACCUAGCUUCUGCUUUGCAACCCCACACAUGAAAAUGAUGAAAACUUGGUGUUCUGCCAGUCCAUAGCUCAAAAGGUGUUUUUGGCACUGAUUUUGUAGGCACUCGGUUCAACACAUAGUUUGAUGUCCUCAAUGCUUCGCCCCACAGAAAACCAGGCAGCUUAGAUCUUGAAAUGAGACUUCUAACCAUUCCCAUCAAGGUUCGGUUUCUUCUCUCAGCCACUCCAUUCUGUUGGGGUUUUCCUGGAGUAGUAUACUGAGCCACAAUGCCUUGUAACUCAAGAAAUCGUGCAAACGGACCCUUCUGUUGCCCUGCUUCUGUGUGCCUGCCAAAAUAUUCUCCUCCCCUAUCUGAUCUAACAAUCUUAAUUUCAAGAUUUAGUUGUUUUUCUACUUCACAUUUAAAAACUUUAAAACACUCAAUGACUGCUGACUUUUCUUUUAUUAGAAAAAUGGAACCAUGUCUGGAGUAGUCAUCUAUAAAACUCACAAAAUAUGAAUUUCCACAAAUGGUUUUGACAGGAAAAGGUCCACAAACAUCUGUGUGUAUGAUCUCAAGUAAAUUUUUACUUCUAUUUGCAUCCAAUUUCCUAACAUUGGUGGUUUUACCUUUCAUACAAUCAAUGCAAUCAGAUGCAUCAUUAAAAUCUAAUGCAGGUAUAAAGUUUAACUUUGACAAUUGCAUGAUCCUAUCUUUUGAAAUGUGUCCUAGUCUUUUGUGCCACAACAUAUAGGAAUUGUCAAAGUUAUGCAUUCUUUUGGCAGUUGUGUUCAAAAUACUUAAUUCAAUAUUUAAUACCGUGCACUGCAUUUUCCACAAAUGAUCAUGCAAAAUAGCCUUUCCUAUUAGAGACCCUCUACUGAAAAAUUUCAUGCAUUCUUUGUUACCUAUGAAGGUGACACCUUCAUUUACUAACCUAGAUGCAGAUAUUAGAUUUCUCCUCAUUGCAGGCACAUAUAACACAUUUGACAAUUCUAACACAAAACCAAAAGACAAUUUGAGUUUUACCUUUCCUAUGGACUCAACUAUGACUCUGGUUCCUUCACCAACAUAAACAUUAUAUGCAUUUGCUUGUUUCUGUUUUUCAAAACCAUGCAGUGAAUUUGUUAUAUGCACAGAUGCACCAGUAUCAAACCACCAAGAAUUUGCAGGAAUUUCAAUGAGAUUUGAUUCCUCACAGACAUAUACAUUAGUCCUACCCUUAGCCCUCAGCCAUUCCUUGAAUAUUUCACAAUCCUUUCUAUAAUGACCUUUAGUUUUGCAAUGGUGACACCUAACCUUUUCUAUGUUUUUACUUUUGACCUUAAAAUUGUUAGAUUUAGAGGAGUUGAAAUUCUUAGCAGGCACAUAAGAUUUAUCAAGGUGUUUGGGUUUAGAAGUAUUACCAAAAUUUGCAUUGAAGUCUUUCUUUCGAGAUGUCUGCACAAAAUUGACAGCCUCAACUUCUUUUCCUCUAUCCAUCUUCUGUCGAUUUUCCUCUUGAACACACUGAGAUAUAAGCUCAUCCACUGACCAUGACUUAUCUUGAGUGUUGUAGGAGACUUUCAGUUGACUGAACUUCAAAGGAAGUGCUUGCAGGAUCAUGAACACCAGCUGUUUCUCACAAAUAUUCAUAUCUAAUGAAUUGAGUUUUUCAGCCGCAUCUGUCAUCUUCAUAAUAUGAUCUCUUAUUGAACCACCCUCUUCAAACUUGUAAGUUGUGAGCAGAGUCAUGUACUGAGCAAUUUCAGCCUUCUGUGAUUCCUUGAACUUAUUCUCAAUAGCUUUGAAAUAAUCUUUUGCAAGAUCACACCUUUUGAUGCCUCCUCGCACGGUGUCCGUCAUCCCACUUUCCAAAAUUGACAAUGCCACUUUAUUCGCUCUUGUCCAUCUUUCAAACUCUAACUUAUCAGCCUUUGAACUCUUAUCAGUAAGAGGUGCAGGCUGUGGUGUAUCCAGUGCUAUGUCAUAUUCAUUCAGUGUCAAAAGCAAUUCAAUUUCCCUUCUCCACUUUCUGUAAUUACUUCCACCCGUGAGUAUUGGCACAGCAGCCAAAUUCAUUGUUUUUAGUGAAACUGCAGAAGAUAACAAUGAAAUCAACACUUUGAAUCUUUUAGGAUUCAUGAUUUCUAUCUAUUUCACCAUGUAAUCCUCAUCAUGAGUCAAUUUUGUCAUACAUGGUUUCAAACUUUGAUAAAGAUAACCAUAUAUAGAGUAAACAACUCACAGAAGAUUGCAUUCAAGAAUCAUGUUCAAAAGGGAUGAUGUUCAUAUAUCACACCACAUGAAUCGAAUAUCAAAAUUCAAUAAACCCAAUAUAAAACAGCAGCGGAAACUCAAAAAUAAUUGAUUCAGUUUAUCCAUUUAGAUGAUUUUGAUUCGAAUUGGCGAGAUGCUAGCAAAUUCUCUAAUUAUAAGCAUAUAUACGGUAUUCUUUAGUUCAAAUAAUUUCUUACACUAAUUUCAAGUUUUAAAAUUGUAGACAUACCUUUUGGAACAAUCAAUGAAUGCAAUUGGCAUGAGAAGGAUAAAAAGGACGAAAAUUCCUUAAAUCGCUAUAAACCCAGAAACUGGGAAAAGGAAAAGAGCUAAGGGAGAGGAAAAGUCGCAAAACCCAGCAAACAUAAGGGUAAGACCCCUUUUUUUUUUUUUUUUUUUUUUUUUUUUUUUUAAUAAAACGGUGUCGUUUGCUAUUGUUAUUUUCAAAACAGGUUAUGAUUCUGGGUUUGGUAAUUAUAGGUUCUUGUCCAGAUUGUUGUGCAAAAAAAAAAAAUAAUAAUUCGAACUUAAUGGCAAUUAUCUCUCCCAAGCUCUAAUACCACAUGUAAGAACUAUAUCACAGAUCAAAGAUAUGCCAGUAAGUUACCAAUACUCCAACAAUCGAACUAAGUGACAAAACUACAAACACGAAUAUGAAACCAGUGGAAAACAUACCUGCAGAACUUGAACUCGAAGAAGCCAUAGCAGGUUCACAACCAAGCAAUCUUCUCCUCUUUAGCAAAACUAGAAAACUCUCUGAAUAAUAGGUAUUCAAUACAAGAUGAGCCGUGUCUUUGCAAGAGCAGUGAUUGAGGUUAUAUACAACAUUAAUCCAACUCAUUCUCCUAUUAGAAUUAGUGUUGAACUCUAAAACAAAACCUUUUCACACAAUGAGUGUACAAGAUCAAUUAGUGUAGGAUCCGAAACCUUUUCCAGAGGAACACUAAAAGCACUCAUAAUCCUACAAGGACGAGGAUUCAACCAAACACCUUAUCAAGACUUUUCCAUUCAAGAAUUCAUCCAAUAUUAUAGCUAAUCCUCAAACAUGUUUCAUACUCAUAUUCCAACACUAGUUACCAGAGAAUGACUUUUAUCCUUCUAUAAACAGGCAGUUGAUAAAGGUGACUCUGGCCCAAUAUAACUUGACUCAUAAACUGGAAACUUUGAGGCUUCAAACUCUGAGCCAAAAGUUGAAGCUUCUCACUCAACAAACAAAAAUUACAAAUCCAAAACUAAAAAGAAUCAGAAACAAACUAAAACAUGGGAUUGGUGAAGGCCAUACCUUCGAAAGCAUAGACGCAGACAGCUCUUCGAGAGCGAUCCCAACUCCGGGGUCGGAGGCGGAAACAGAGGCCAAUAUCCUCAAGAUUUUGCGUUGACGAUUGUGAGAUCGGGAUAAAACGGUCGAAACCAAAUUUGCAAGUUUUGAAAAAACGUUAAGGAAUCUGGGUUUCAAUGAAUAAGGAGGUUGCAAAUAAAAUCCCCAAAGAAACAAAAAAAAGGUCUCCCAUGUCGGUAUUUUGUGAGAGAAAAAGCGCAAGAUUCGAGAGCGAGUUCAACAGCAGCAGAAGCACAGAUUUGUGAGAAAGAAGAAAUCGAAGGAAAAAUCGAGAAGAUGCAAGAGAGGCUUGAGGCAAGCAUGGACAAAUGGGUAAUCUUACGUGUAAAGAGGAGAAAGAACGGAGCAGGAAAGCUGUUUGACAAGGCAAUAUCGCUAAUUUAAUUCUGGUGAGCAACGCUUUUCCACCAAGUGGAUGGCAAGGGCAAAAACACCUUUUUACUGUGAAAAAGACGCAAAAACAAAAUGGCACAUAAAAAAGCAUUCAGAGGGCAUUUUCGUCCGUUUACUGCUGGUGAACAGUGUUUUUUUGCUUGAGUUUUAGUAUAGGUUCAACUAAAAAUUGUUAUCCGCGUGAUUAGAAACUGUUAAAAAAAAUUAUCAUAGACUAUUAAUAUUAUUUACAUUAAAAAUGUUACACGAUUUUAACAAACAAAAAAUUUAAUCUAUACAGUAUACACACAAACAAUUGUAGAACUUUUGUCUUUACAUAAAAAAAAUAAAAAAAAUCUAAGUUAUUCACUGAAGCACCUAAAGUUUCUUGAUUGUGAAGAAAGCAACCUCAGCAAGGAAAAAUAUGAAAUAUUAAAAUACAUGCAAUUAAUUUAUACAUCAACGGGCUUAUAUUACAAAAAAAUAAGGAUAAAGUAUUGCUACCUAGUCUUUUUUUUUUUGGAGGAAAAUAAUCUGAUUUUAUACCAAUUAGAGAGAACUUUUUUUCAGCAAUUUAAUAGUCUAAUAAAUUGAUUAUACAAAAAAUCCAUUAAAAAAACCUAAAAACAAUAAACUAUUCACUAAUUUUUCAUACGAAAUAGAACAAAGCUAUAGAAUAUACCUUUUCAUAGUGAGUAUUGUGAAAAAUACAACAUAGCUUGAGACAAUGGUAAUUAACGUGUUUGGAAAAGUCUACCUGCGUGGUGGUGUAAUCGUCACAUAGAUAAACUUCAAUGCCAAUUGAUUGAACUAAGUUUUUUUUUUUUAACAAACAAUAUUAUCUACACUAAAGAGAAAGGUAAGCUUUAGCCUCACAACAAGAGAAGCCUUGCGCAGAGCUCUACCUCUAACAACUCAAUUAUAUCUUGAAAUCGGCUAAGUUGGUAUUGUAACACGGUAAGGUUGGGUAGAUUUUAGAUCCAAAUGUCACCAAACAAUAUUCUGCAGAAUGGCAGUGUUCUGUCUAGAUUGUCCAUGGCACGGACGUAAACUGGAUGAUAACGCAGGGCAACACUGGUACUAUACCCUAAACAUCCACAAGCUAUAAACAAAUAGUUAAAGUUCAUAUGCACCAAGGGUACUAAAACUCAACCCAUUGUUUAGUAAGAAGAACCACAAAAACAAAUUAGUAAAAACCGAAAUGGUUAUCAGAUGGACACAAAGGUUUUUGUACUACGUGAAACUUUGCGUCGAGAAAUUGAAACAACUAUCAGGAGACAGUUAUACGGAUUUCCUACAAUUCUAUAAAUAAUGUAUUCUUUCACCAUUGUUUCAAUUCAAACAAAAAUUAAAGAACAGAAAAGCUAGAAGCAGGAAAAUUGCAACUGAUCAAUAUUUUCCAAACAAAACCAACCUGCAAUGUCCUAGUUGCAAAUUCAACUCCAAUGGUGGACUUAGACUCCAAAGAAAACUCAUUCCUCGUAAACCUCGAAAGAAUGUUCGAUUUUCCAACACCCGAAUCUCCAAUCAAUACAAUCUUGAAGAGGUAAUCGUAUUCGUGAUCCACCUUGUACGCCAUACGUUCUACUCCUCACACACACACCCCCACAACACCUGCCCAGAUCCAGAAUUCACCAAACAAAAAGCUGUUAGCAGUCAAAAAACCAAAAAAAUAAACCCAUUCUCUUGUUUUGACAGAAGGGAUGAGAAAAGUGCUGAUCAGAGAGCAUUUUCUUUACCUACGGUUUCUUUCCAAUGUGAUUUUCCCGAGAAACAAACGGAAAUUGGGUAAUCAUAAAACAAUGACAAUGGCGCGUAGAAUGGUGAUUAACAAAAUAGAGGAUUUUUUGAAUGUUGGGUUUUGUUAUGUUUGCAUUGAAGUUUGUGGAAACAGAGGAGAGGAGAAAAGAAGAAGAAAAGGAUGGCGUUGUACAAAGUUAGAAACAGAACAAUGGAUGAAAAUGCACUUAAACGGCCUUUCACGAGGGAACUGACGCGCCGAAUUCGGAGUCUAUGUAAAGUAAACGACCAUUCAUAAGACAUGACGCAUAAAAUUUAAGCCCAUUCUCAAUAUGGGCUUAGGGCAUAUGUUUGUAACCCACUGAAAAGCUCCAUUAGGGUUUCCUAUCACACACUAUUUAUCUCUCUACACACUUAUGUCAUGUAGUCAUGUUUAAUCAUAUCAGUUGACUAUUGAUUUUAUCAACUUGGGUUACUAAAAAUUAAGAAAUGAGUGCAAUUAUCAUUUCUAACUGUUUUAAAAUGUUAGGAUGAUUCAUAAACAAAUUGGAAGUUCAAAAGAUAAGUCGGAAUGAGCCCCUAAAUUCAAAGGGCAUUUGCCAUGUCUCUCUGUUUUGUGAAUCAUUAAAAGUGACAUUAUUUAUCCUUACAUAUUUUGUCUUUGGUGCACAAAGUGACUACUACUACCUACCACUACAAACCUAACCUCUUACACCACCAUUGUUACCACCACGCCACCACCACGACCAUAACACACAAGCGUCACCACUACCACCACUUACCUCUGUGGCUCAACCACCACACCCCUUAAUCAGCAGCACCACCACCACUAUCACAACCAUUGUCCUAGCCACCGUUGUCAACGUCAUCACACAAAUUAUCAUGUCCAUUUUUGUUAUUAUAUACAAUUAUAUCAUUUUACAUUAAAUUUUACCAAACACGCUUUUACAAUGCUUUUCAUACUCACAACACUUAUAAAAAUACAGUUAUCAAACGCUCAGCUACUUUAUUUUGUAGCUGAUUAUUCUUAAAGCACAACAUAAACAAUUUUUUUUUAAAGCAUAGUACUCCCCAACUGGCCCUAAGUCCACAAAUGAGUCAUCCCAAGCAAAGCCGGUCUUGAGUUUUUUGGUGCCCGGAAAAGAAUCAGAAAGUGCCUUUUCUUAAUACACGGGUAUAUAUUAAAAAUAAAUAUUUAAAAAGAGUGGGCCAAACCCUUCAUACAUAUUAUAUUACUCAAGUGCAAAGGUAAACGUUCAUAGCUAAUAAGGAUAAAACUGUUAAAAGCAUAGUUAGUUAGAAUUGUUAUAAGGUGGUUAUGAUAGCUUGUAAUUAGUGAAUGUUUGUUUGGGUAUUUUUGUAAUUAGCUGGUUAGCUAAGACUAGUGAGUCACUAGUAUAUAUAUGUACAUACCAUUGUAUAAUUUUAUCUUGAUGAAAUGAAAAGAUAACAUUUCUAAUAUGGUAUCACCCACCUAAAAGUCUCACGACAUUUUCGAUCCUAUUUUUCCCGCCUCUCUCUCUGCAUCGUCUCCUAGGGUUUGCUUCUUCUUCUCCGAUCAAUCGAUCGCUUCAACACUCUUGCUUCUUCUUCUUCAUGCUAUGACGAGCUCUGCAGCUUAGUCUUCUUCCGCUUCAGAUUCUUCUAUUCAUCCAAUUCCUGCUGCUCUUUCUAACCCUAAUUCUGCAAUUACGAUCCAAAACAUUGGAUCCAUGGUUCCAAUCAAGCUUACAACGACGAACUACCUGACCUGGAGUGCUUUAUUCACUCCGAUUUUCCGCCGGUACAAUCUUACCAGAUUAAUUGACUGCACAAUGGCUGCUCCGUCGAAAUUCCUUCUCGAUGCAUCUGGAAAUUGCACCGCCACUCUGAAUCCCCAAUAUGUUGCGUGGUAUGAGAAUGAUCAGAACAUCUUGAUCUAGAUCAACUCUACGCUCUCGGAUGCAUUCUUUACACUGUUGGUGUUAAUUCGGCUCGGGAGUUAUGGUCCAAGUCAUGUAUUUCUCUUUCUAGUGUUUUAAAUAAAACUGUCUGCUCCAGCUGUGCUCUAGGCAAGUCUUCAAAAUUACCUUUUGUUUCUGUUUCCUGUACCUCCAAUAAACCUCUGGAAUUGUUACACACUGAUGUAUGGGGUCCAGCCCCUCUUCUUUCUAUCAAUGGACAUCGUUACUACAUCAUUUUUGUUGAUGAUUAUACCAAAUACACUUGGUUCUUUCCUCUUGCAUCCAAGUCUGAUGUCUUUGACACAUUUGUCAAAUUUAAAGCUCCCGUGGAAAAUCUACUCAGUUCUAAAAUAGUUACUAUAAGAUCUGAUUCUGGUGGAGAGUUUCUUAGUCUCAAGCUCAUCAAUUAUCUGCAAUUACAUGGCAUUUCACAUCAGUUAAGUUGCCCUCACACGCCUGAACAGAAUGGCUGUGCUGAACGCAAACAUCGGCAUCUAGUUGAAACUGCUAGAACUUUUCUAGCAGCCUCUCAAGUUCCUAAGCUCUAUUGGGAUGAUGAUUUUGCCACGGCUAUCUAUCUGAUUAAUAGAAUGCCAACAGCUACCAAGUAUUCUCCUUGGGAAUUACUCUUUCACAAACCUCCGGAUUAUUCCUCUCUGAAAGUGUUUGGCUGCAAAUGUUUUCCUUGGUUGAAGCCUUACAUUUCCUCUAAACUUGAUCCAAAGAGCAAAGUAUGUGUCUUUUUGGGUUAUAGUUUGAAUCACAAUGGUUAUAAAUGUCUCGAUCCUCAUACUGGCAGAGUAUAUCUUUCACGGCAUGUUAUUUUUUAUGAAGUCACUUUUCCUUUUGCUCAACAAGACUUAUCUCAGUCUCUCCCAUCUAGUUCUAGUUCUUCUAUACUGAGGAAUCAUCACACCAUUCCCACAACCUUAACUUUUCCCACUAUAUCUUCACCUUUACCAUCUCAUUCCCUUACUGCACCUAGUUCCCUUAUUGCAUCUAGUUCUCUUGCUGCACCUAUUUCCUCUUCCUCAUCUCCUCACCUUAUUUCUCAUCCCAUCUCUGCCCCUAAUCCACUUGCCGCACCCUCCAUACCUCAAAACACUCAUGCCAUGCAAACUCGUUCCAAAUCCAGUAUUGUCAAACUAAAGGUUUUUUUAGCAACCAAACAUCCCAUUUCCUCUGAGAUGUCACUGGACUAUAUACCAUCCACUUAUCUUCAAGCCUCCAAACACUCUCACUGGAGGCAAGCUAUGCAGGAAGAAUUUAAUGCUCUUAUUCAAACUGGCACUUGGUCUUUGGUCCCUUCUCAUUCUUCUCAGAAUUUGGUUGGUGCAAAAUGGGUAUUCAGAAAUAAACGCAAGCCUGAUGGUACCAUUGACAGGUACAAAGCAAGGCUUGUUGCCAAAAGAUUUCAUCAGCAACAAGGUUUGGACUACACUGAAACAUUUAGUCCAGUUGCAAAGCCGGUUACCAUUCGGCUUCUUCUCACUUUGGCUGCCAAGUUUGAUUGGUUCCUCAAUCAACUUGAUAUUAGCAAUGCAUUUUUGCAUGGUAAUCUCACUGAAUCUGUGUUUAUGGUACAACCACCAGGAUUUGAAGACCUUACAAUGCCUUCUCAUGUUUAUCAUUUGCAUAAGUCUUUGUAUGGUUUGAAGCAAGCCCUCAGGGCUUGGUAUGAGAAAUUAACAACUGCCUUAAAGUCUCUCGAUUUCUCUGGUUCUCAGAAUGACUAUUCUCUAUUUGUAAAACGGGAACCAGCUCUGGUCUUCAUUCUAAUUUUGUUGAUGACAUUAUUGUCACUGGUCCAAGUUCCCAUCUUUGCCAAGAGGUUAUAACUCAACUCGGUGUCUUAUUUCCUGUCAAAGAUCUUGGCCCCCUUUAUUACUUUCUUGGCAUUGAAGUAACAAGAUCAUCCUCGGGGAUAUUGCUUUCUCAGACCAAAUAUAUUCUUGAUCUCCUCACUAAAGCUCAUAUAGAGGGUUCCAAGCCUUGUGUUACCUCGAUUAGCACCACUAAAUUGGAUCAUAAAUCUCCUUUGCUUGAUAAUCCUGAAGAAUAUCGAUCUUUGGUUGGUGGUUUGCAGUAUUUAACUUGGACUAGGCCCGACUUAUCUUAUGCAGUGAAUUUGGUCUGUCAAUUCAUGCAUAGUCCUCGGCAAGCACAUUUCCAGGCCGUCAAGCGCAUUCUUCGAUAUCUUAAGGGUUCCUUGCAAAUUGGCUUAUGGUUUCCUAAGUGUUCCAAGUCUCUCACUCUCACUGCCUUCUCCGAUGCAGAUUGGGCAGGUUGCAGUAUUGACAGACGAUCCACUAGUGGUUUUGUAAUUUUUUUGGGAGACAAAGAGUGCAAAGAAACAGCCUACUGUGGCUCGAUCCUCAACUGAGGCUGAAUAUCGAUCUUUUGCAAACACUGCGGCUGAACUCACCUAGAUUUGCAAGUUACUGACUGAUGUUGCUCUUGUUCUUCCCUCUUAUCCACAACUUUGGUGUGAUAAUAUCUCUGCAAUUUCCUUGGCUAAGAACCCUAUUUUUCAUGCACGAACCAAACAUGUGGAGAUAGAUUAUCACUAUAUCCGCGCAAAAAUUGCUCGCCAAUCAAGUGCAAGUUCUUUUUGUCUGCACGGAGGAUCAACUUGCUGACAUUUGUACUAAACCUCUAUCCAAGCCUCGGUUCAUCUUCCUUCGCAACAAACUCUCUCUUCGGUUCCCUCAGUUAGGUUUGCAGGGGGGAUAAUAAGGAUAAAACUGUUAAAAGCACAGUUAGUUAGAAUUGUUAUAAGGUGGUUAUGACAGCUUGUAAUUAGUGAAUGUUUGUUUGGGUAUUUUUGUAAUUAGCUGGUUAGCUAAGACUAGUGAGUCACUAGUAUAUAUAUGUACAUACCAUUGUAUAAUUUUAUCUUGAUGAAAUGAAAAGAUAACAUUUCUAAUAAUAGCCACUUUAAACUAUAAUCAUUAAGUUCAUCUCCAACUGAACGCUGGCCAAAUGGCUUGUUUUAGCCAUCUGAUCCUCCAAGAAAUUAAUAUUUUAAUGAACUGUGCAUGAUCAUAUUCUUACCAUCUCCAACCGAGGGCCAAACAUAAUUUAUUAUUUAAAUUUAAAAACUACAACUUAAAUUAAAAAAACUACAACUAAAAUUUAAUAACUACAAGUAAAAUUUAUAAAAUACAACUUAUAUAUUUCAAGUCAAAUGUGAGAGGUUUUAUUUAGAGUAGCAAAAAAGGAAAUAAGUGGGAGAGGAAGUAGGAGAAACUAAAAAUGUGGAAGUGGGUGGGAGAGGAAGUAUAAAAAUAUAAAAAAAAUGGAAGUGGGUGGGAGUCCCACAUCGGUUGUGAGAAAGAUUUGAGCAAGUUCCAAAGCCUAUAAAAAGAACACCUAACAUUCAAUGAAACAUACUUUCUGGGCCUAUAAUUGAAUAUAUUUUUUUAAAAAUUUUGGCCAACAAAAAAAAAAUUCAAAUAACUGUAAAAAAAACAAAAAAAAGGGCUAGCUAACUUUAGCUAGUUGACAGUUGCUUUUGAAUUUUAGCCCGGCCAGUUGGCCCUUUGACCCUUUUUUAUCUAGUGGGGCCCACAAUCCCUUUGGUCUAGUUCUUGGUUUGAGGCAAUUUUAAGGUCAUUUUCGACCCUCUGACACCUUUUGGUUGAAGAUGACCUAACAGAAAAAAAUUGAACAUUUUAUGAGACUUCUCUCUCCGAAGAGGUCCCAAAUUUAAGUACUAGUAAACGGGUGCAUUUUUACUCACCCACAUUAACUUAGGUGUAUGCUCACCACACAACUCCAAGCUUGCCAAGUGUCCCUUUGCUUUAAUCCUAGUUAACAUUUUCAUUUGUUAUUAAUAUUUUACUAUAAUAAUACAUUAAUAAUCAUCUUAACAUUUAUCUUUGAACUUUUUAAUCAAUAUUUGUAUCUCAACCGUCCAUCUCCCCUCUUCCUCCCCCCUCCCAUCUCUCUCCUCUGUCACUUUUCCCCCUUUUCUGUCAUUUGGGUGAAUAUCCCAAAUCUAAAAUCUCAAAUUCUAAUACAAAUUUAAAGGGGAAUGGGUGAAUUGAUUUGACGGGGUGAAGUCCAUCAAUAUCGUGAGAAAGGAGCAUGAUGAGUAGAUUUUAUAUUAUAUAUGUUACCCUAAUCUUAGUAUAUUUUGGUUAACAUUUUGGAAGAAUUUUGAUACUUUGAAUUGUAUUUCCAAUAUAGGACUUUCGACUUCUUCUGGAGCAAAACAGAAUCAAAUGGACGAUUUUUUGAGUAAUUCUAGUUGGAGAACGUUCGUGAGUCACUUAUAUUGAUCGUAUCAAAAUCUGGGAUUUUUCCACUAAGCAGUUAUUUUCUGGCGAUAAAAUAAAGGAGCGAUGUGCAGUGCUGGAAAAUGACGUUUUUUGGCUUAAAUUACGUUUUUGUAGCCCAAGAUGACCUCGGAUGGGUUCGUGGCCUUCUGGAGAAGUGUUCAUAAUGUUCCAAACAUUAAAUUCAGCUAUAUUGGGCUGGUUUUGGAGCAGCUUAUGGGUCCAAAAUGUGGCUGUUCAGAUUUUAGGCGAAUUUUCCCAUUUAAUUUAGGAUUAUGUUUCCUAUUUUAUUUAUUGUUACUAUUAGUUUCCUAGAGGAAAAAAGGACCUGUUUUUAGGGUUUGUGUGGUGGUUUAGCAAAUAUAUUGCUUAGCCGUCUACCACAUUUUUCUCUACGCUUUAUUUUAUGCAAUUUUGAAGACAGAGAGAAGUGCUAGGGUUUUGGAGAUUUUCUACUUGAAGGUGUUUUCAAUCAUUUUCUUAAUAAUAUUUUCUAUGAUUUCAAUUAUGAAUAUGCAUAACUAAUUUCCUAUUGCUAGGGCGAAGCCUUGAGCCUUAACAUGAAUACGUGAUUUUUAUUUAAUUGCUUAUGAUUGAUUGCAUGCAUACUUUGAAUUGUUAAUCACCGGGAUAAAAACUAUCUAAUUAUCUUAAUGCAUGAUCACCAUUAUGAUCUUUAGAAAAGUAAUUUGAUGCAAUUUUGGUCGGAAGGUUCCCUGAAAUUGACGCUGGCUUCAUGUGAUUAAUAAUUGUAAUUUCACUUAAGAUGAACACCACGUCUUAAAGGUUGCAUGGUUUUUCAAAGGAUUUUCAUAAAGUAUAAUGAGUCUUUGAUGUUCAGAUUUGAUCUGAAUGUCCGGACAUGUUGCAUGUUAGAUAUACGUUCUAUGUUGGAGGUUCCAAGUAGAAUAUGAAUUAGGAAAAUCUAACCUUCAAAGUGGCAUGUGUAGAUCAUAAGUAAUUGGUAAAAAUUCAUAGGAUUGCUAGGUGAUGGUGGAACCCUAGUGUUUUCUUAAUUUGAUUCUUCCAAAACUGUUUUCUUUUUCCCCCAAUUUUAAUAUUGCAGAUUGUCUUAUUUGUUUUAAUUAAAUUCGUUUUUUAAUUUAAGUAGGCUAUAAAAUCAAUCAUCAUAAUUUCUACUUUACAAUAAUUAAUUGAACUUUGGUUUGUUUCAAAUUAUUUCAUAAUCUCUGUGGAGAACGACCUUGCGAGAUCCGUUUACACUACAACAACCUUGUGAUUCUUGCAAGUAUUAUAGGAAUUUUUAUCUCAUUCACAUGAUUAGUAAAAUCCCUAUCAGAGCACAGGUUGCCUCCAUUCACUCGAAGCAAAGAUGCACAGAUAAGUGAAGAAAAUUUGUACCUAGAAAACUGUUCCAAAUUGUGGGUGGUUGGCAUGGGGUGGUGAGAGGUGGGAGGGAGCAAAUAGCAAGUGAGAGGAAUAAAGGGUCGUCAUUGCUGCUUCAAAUGCUCGAGCAAUUUCCAUUAGAAUAUUAUACAUAAAUAAAAUUACAAUUAGGAGAUAAUUUCUGUGAUUCGAAACGCCAUGGAUGAUUUGGUGGAGGAGGACAAUUUCUUUGAAACUGAAUAAACGCUUCGGGAGGUGAGUUGCAGACGGUUUUUUAUUUGUCUAUUUUUAGUUUAUUUUUAUUUCUUUAUUAAAUUAAUAAAGAGUAAUUAAAUCACAGUUAACCAAGGUUAAGGCAAAGGGACACUUGGCAAGCUUGGAGAUGUGUGGUGAGCAUACACCCAAAAUGGGUGAGCAAAAAUGCACCCCUAGCAAACUUAUUCGGUUCUUUAAUUAUCAUCACAUCAAAUGCCCAGAAAGGUUUUGCCCACAUCAACAUUUUUCUAUUUUUUAAAUUACAUAUAAUUUGUUUAAAGCCAUCUUCACUUCACCUUGUAACUAAUUGCUUACAAUAUAGGAAAUUUUAUUUUCAUGGUCCUAUAAACUCCUACGUUUUAAUGACUCUUUUGAUAUAAAAAUAAUUCAUUAAAGUAAUUUAAACUUUUACAUUGUUAAACGACUCUUUCUAUAAAAAAAAAUAAGGGUAAAGUAUAAAAAACUAUCUCAACUAUUAGUGUCACGAUACUUUCAUAUCUCAUCUUUUAAAAUUGAUAAUGUCAUACUUCAUCUUUAGAAUUUGGUCCAAUAUUAUACCUUCUGUUACUUGGCUGUUUACUUUUCAAUUAAAUGUUGACGUGACUUGAUUCAGAGCCCACUUUCUAUUAGAAAAUCAUUAAAAUAUUAUUAAAAGCUAAAAAAAAUAUUUAAUAAUUUUAAAUAUUAAAAUAAUAAAAAAAGUAAAAAAAAAAAAAAAAAAACAACCCUAAGUUCGCCCCUCCCCUUCCCCAUCUUCAUCUUCAUCUUCAUCUUCAUCUUCAUCUUCUUCACCCCCCCCCCACCCAAAAAAAAUGAAUAAUAAAAAACUCAUAUCCCGUCGGCGGGAAGAUGAGUGCGCGGAGAAGGUGGAGGAUGGGUGUGGAAUAGGAUGUGGAGAAUGGAUGAGUGGUGGAUUUGGGGUUGGGUUUUUUUUUUUGGGGGGGGGGGACGAACUGGGUUCGCUUUGGAUUUUUUCUUUCUUUCCUUUUCUUCUUCUUCUUCUUCUUCCUCUUCUUCUUCUUUUUCUUCCUCCUUCUUCUUUCUGGGUUGUUGGGGGUUGAGCGAACUGGGUUGGGUUGGAAUUUUUUUUUUCCUCUUCUUCUUCUUCCUCCUUCUCCUUCUUCUUCUUCUUCUUCGGGGGAGGGGGGGUUCUUCUUCCUUCUGGAUUGUUGGGGGUUGGGCGAACUGGGUUGGGUUGGAAAUUUUUUUUUUCCUCUUCUUCUUCUUCCUCCUCCUUUUUUUUUCCUCUUCUUCUUCCUCCUUCUCCUUCUUCUUCUUCUUCUUCUUCGGGGGAGGGGGUUCUUCUUCCCCCUUCUUCUUUUUGGGUUGUUGGGGGUUGGGCGAACUGAGUUGGGUUGGAAAUUUUUUUUUUUCCUCUUCUUCUUCUUCCUCCUUUUUUUUUCCUCUUCUUCUUCCUCCUUCUCCUUCUUCUUCUUCUUCGAGGGAGGGGGGUUGAUGCGUUUUCAAAUUUAUUUAUUUUUGGUUGAAGAUUAAGCAGGGAAGAAGAUGAAGAUGGGAAGAGAAAGGGGGAAGGGACGAACAGAGGGAUUUUUAUUUAUUUUUUUACUUUUCUUUAUUAUUAAAAAAAUAUUAAAUAAUAAUUUUUUUAUUAAAAAUGAGCCCCGAAUCAAGUCACGUCAGCAUUUAACUGAAAAAGUAAACGGCCAAGUAACGGAAGAUAUAAUAUUAGACCAAAUUCUAAAGAUGAGGUAUGAAAGUGUCGUGACACCAAUAGUUGAGGUAAUUUUUUGUACUUUACCAAAAAAAAUAAAUAAUUAAAGUAACUUCUCAUUAUACCAUCUUCAAUGGUGGGCUAAAUACUAAAUUACCCCCCAAUUCCCCGCGUCGUGACACCAAUAAUUGAGGUAGUUUUUUGUACUUUACCAAAAAAAAAAAUAAUUAAAGUAACUUCUCAUUAUACCAUCUUCAAUGGUGGGCUAAAUACUAAAUUACCCCCCAAUUCCCCGCCCCCCCCCCACCAAACAAUCUCCAACCCAUGAUAAAACAUUGGGCUAAAUGCCAAAUGUUAAAGCUGGGCCAAAUACCCCCCAAAAUUCCCUCCCCAUGCGACUGGAUUCGCUAGCAAUUGGGCCAGUCUCAGCCCGGUCACGCUCCAACGCAUCCCACGCGGUGCGCUUGCAAACCUUUCCCAACAGGGGUGUGCCCCUCUGUCAGUCGUUCGUCUGCUACCCAAAAAUCCCAACAGCUAUAAUUUGAAUCCAAGGGCUUGGUUUAAUGGAUCGUUGGUUGAUCCAACAGUCCAGAUUCAAAUUUAAUUUUUUUAAAUAUGUUAUUUUAAAAUACAUUGAAUCCAAUGACUGAGUUCGAACAUCCACACAACUCAAUUUUCUCCUACUAUUAUCCAAUUUAUCUUUUUACCUUUUCUUUCCAUUUCCAAAUUGUUCAACAUGACAAGAGAGCAUAUUAGAGGUCGUAAUUGGACCUAUGAGGAAGAUGUUGCUUUAUGUUUGGCAUGAUUUUCUAUUAGCGAAGAUGGUGGAGUUAGCACAAAUCAAAAUAAGAAGGUUUUGUGGGAUAAAAUCAUUGCAAAGUUUUAAGAAAACUGCAAUGGCGGCGGGCAUGAUGGUGGUGGUGUUUAUGAUUGGUGGAAGACUAUCAACAAAGCAUGUACUUUAUGGAAUAUAAGUUUUGAGAGAGCCGUGGUGGGCAUGGCUAGUGGAAGAAGGGCCACAGAGAUUGUGAGUUUUGUUCUUAAUAUUUUAUUUGUCAUGUACAUAAUAUUAUUUUCCAACUAAGUAUUUUUAUGUAUUUUUUGCAUAAGGUGCCAAAGCAAUGAAAAUUUAUGAGGCCAUCUCUAACCGAAGGGUCCAGAGGGCCAGAUGGCCGUAAAUAGCCCUAAAACUGUCUCCAACUGAGGGCUAGGCUAGAGGGCUCUGGAAUCUGGGAGGGCCCCACGGGAUCAGAGAGGGCUGGCUAUUUUUUUUAAUGUUUUCCUAUUGCUGUCGGUUAUAACCGACAGCAUUAAAGAAGAAUUUUUUAAUACUGUCAGUUAUAACCGACAGUAAUAAUUAUUCAAAGCAAAAUUUUUCUUUUUAAUUACUAUUAGUGUCGGUUAUAACCGACACUAAUUGUUUGAAUUUUUUUUAAUAUAACGACUAGUAGCCGUUGUAUUAACUUUUUUUUUUUAUGAAUUUAAACUUCUUUUUUUUCCCUUUUUUUUCCUUUUCAUAUGAAUCAAAUUUUGUUUCAUAUUUUUUUUCAAUUCUAUUUUACAAAAUUUGUUUCAAUUUUUUUUUAAAUUCUAUUUUUUUCCUAUAACUUCUAUUUUACAAAAUUUGAUUCAUAUUUUUUUUCAUAUAACUUCUAUUUUACAAAAUUUGUUUCAUAUUUUUUUAAAUUCCAUUUUUUUCCUAUAACUUCUAUUUCACAAAAAAAAAUUCAUAUUUUUUUUCAAUUCUAUUUUUUUCCUAUAACUUCCUAGGCCAUUUAUACAACAUUAAAUUAAAUUAAGUAACAUGAAACAACAUUAAAUAACAUUAACCAACAUUAAACAAUUGUAAUUUUUAAAUAAUAAAUUAUGUUUGGCCCUAUGGCCCUUUGACCCUCGGUUGGAGACGAUUUUUGGUGACAGGGCUAAAACGAGCCAUCUGGCCCUUUAGCUCUCGGUUGGAGACGGAGGCCAAUAUGGCCCUGUACUGUUCAUUAAAAUAUUAAUAUCUUGGGAAAUCUUGGAGGGCCAGAGGGCUAAAACGAGCCCUCUGACCAGCGUUCGGUUAGAGAUGGCCUAAGACAAGAGCAACACCAGAAAAUCAAGUUUUAAGUUGCAACAUGCUUAGAACGUCCUCAAGGAUUGUCCGAGGUGGGGAACCGAUGCGGACCAAUAAUGGGAAAGAUUAUUUCAACGUGAAGCCGCACAGACAAAUGCCAGAGAUGAAGGUGUCGAUGAAAUGACCCUAUCUCCUUCUUUUGCAAGGCCCCCAGGAAGAGAUAAGCAAAAGGAAGCAAAGAGAAAAGGGAAGUCCCAAGAUCCGAUGAGUGGACACUUUGGUACUAGAAUUGCAAAAUUGAACGAAACUCAUAGCGCUCGCUAAGAAGAAACGGCCCGAAUGCGUUUGCAAAUGAAGGAAAUCUCAGAUCGGGAGCAAGAUAGGUUUGAAAUUGAAUUCAUGAUGGAGGAACUCAACAAAUACACUUUAAAGAGGAAGAAGUUCUUACGUGGUAAGCAAAAGGAAAUUUUGCAAAAGUCUGUCUCAAGGAGUAUGUUUCAAGAUGAUGAAUCCUCUGAAUCCUAUAUCCCAAGAUUUCAACAAAGUCCAUCACCAAGUGAAGAUGGUGGAUAUGAUUAUUAAGUUUAUGUAGUGUAUGAACUAUGUGCUUUAUUAAUUGAGUUUAUUAAUUGUCGAUUGUAUUAAGUUUAUGUGGUUUAUGAAUUAUCGAUUGUAUUAAGUUUAUGUGGUUUAUGUAUUAUCAGUUGUAUUGUUUCUAUUAAUUUAGAUGUCUUCAAUAAUUAUUGUACUUAUUAUUCCACACUUUGAUGUAGAAUAGAUGUCUUCAAUAAUUCAACGUACUAGACAAAAUACUUUGCACAAGAAGACACUUAAAUUUAUUACUAGAAAAUAACAACAUAGUACACUUAAAAUUAAUCUAGAUGCCUUCAAUAAUUAUUGUACUUAUUAUUCCACACUCUUCUAUAUCACGCUACACAUAUGAACGCUCCGUGACAGAACCACGAUGGUUAGAUUCACUAUGUGGUCAGAUUGCAUAAAUGAGUUGACAAGUUCAACUUUGGCGUUGAACAAUUAUGCAUCCUCAAUCUCGAUCCUUGCUUGGUAUUGUGUCAUCUGCAUUGUCAUGCUACAUAUUCUUUUAUCACCAAUUGAUGAGAUAUUGAGGAUUUUUAGGUAAUAAAAACUCUUUGAAAGUUGAAAGAUUAGUGAAUAUAGAGGAUGAUUGAAGGUUAAAAGGUUGUGUGAUCAACAAAUAGUGGUCAUAUGUUUAUAUAGAGGAUGAUUGAUGAAAGUUGAACAGUUGGUGAAAGUUGAAAGUUUGGUGUUGAACGAUUGGUGAAAGUUGAAAGUUUGGUGUUGAAGGGUUGGUGAAUUGAAAAUUUGGUAUUGAACGGUUGAUGAAUUGAAAGUUAGCACAUGGUUGAAAGAUUGAUGAAAGUUGAAGGCUUGCUUUGUGAAAAAUUUAGUGAUUUUUCAAUAUUUAUUGGAAUUUAAAUUUUUUUAGAUUAAAAUGUUCAUAAAAUUAAUUUACGAUAGUCUACAUAUUUAUUUAAAAAAAUUAAUUUAAGAAAAAUAAUCGCCUAAAUUUAUUCUUUAAUAAUCCCAGGCUAAAAUUUUAGGACAGAACAGUUGGAGCAGAAAAACUGUUUCUGAGCUAAAAUAUUUGGCUUUUAGCCCAACCAUUAGAGAUGGUCUUAUUAGGACAAAAAGUAUUAAAACUUAUGUUUUGAAAACAAAUGUACCAAAAAUUCAAGAAAAUUUUAACAAAAAACUCCCGGUACUGUUUACUUUAACUAAAAACCACAUUUUUGCACUAAAGAAUCAAUUCUGGUACUAUUCACUUUAUCUUUUAUUUUGUCCUUAUCGUUAAAACUCAAAGUUUUUAAGCCAAUUUCAUUAAUUUUCCUAAAAUUCAAAUGUACCAAGAAGCCAAAUGAACCAAAAAUUCAAAUGUAGCAAGUAACAACAUGUACCAUUAUAAUUAAAUGUACCAAUAUAACCAAACGUACCUAUCAACGAGUUUUGUUACAUUCUAUUUAAUUUACUAAAAUAACUAUUUUAAUAAAAAAUAAAAAAAUCUUAAAUCAUCAUAAUUAGAGAUACAUAAAAAUUGGAAGAAAAAAGAAAAUGCUAUCGUGAAUAGACUUUUAAUGAAAUAAAAUUAAGGGUAAAGUACAAAAAACUACCUCAACUAUUGGUGUUACGACACUUUCAUAUCUCAUCUUUUAAAAUUGACAAUAUCAUACCUCAUCUUACGAAUUUGUGUCAAUGGUAUAUCUUUCGUUAGGGUUGGCAUGAAUUUCUCAAUUAAAUGCUGAUGUGGCUUAAUCCAAGACCAAUUUUCUAUUAAAAAUUAUUAAAAAUUAAAAAAAAAUAAUAUUUUUUAAAUAUUAAAAAAAAAAAAACCAACACUCAGUUCAGUUCGUCCCCUCCCCCCUUCUCUCUCUUCUCCCCAUCAUCAUCUUCUUCCCCCUUCCUGCAACUGCAACCCAGAAAAAAAGAAGAGAAAAAAAAAAACCAAUUUGUCUUCCCCCCUCCCCACCCCCUCUUCACCCCGCACCCCCGCACCCCCGCACCCACUCUCCGCACCCAACCUCCCCACCUUUGCACCCAACCUCACACCCACUACCAGCAACCCAAAAAAAAAAAAACCCCAAAUCCUGUUGAGGUGGAAUUAGGAAACCUUCGCCAAGACGAUUUCGAAGGUUGAGACCCUAAGCGCGGAGAAAAUAGGGGGAAUGGGUGUGGAGGGAAAAGGGUGGGUGUCGCGGGGGGGGGGGACGGACGAACUGGGUUUCCUUUUUAUUUUUUAUUUAUUCUCUCUCUUCUUCUUCUUCUUCUUUCUGGGUUUGUUCGGGGGGAGGGGAUUGGGUUGGGUUGGGUUUUUUUUUUUUUUUUUUUUUGUCUUCUUCUGCUUCUUCUUCCUCAUUUUUUCUGGGUUGCAAGGGGUUGGGUUUGUGGUGGUGGGAGAGGGGACGAACUGGGUUUGGUUUGGGGUUUUGUUUUUCCUUCUUCUUCUUCUUCUUCUUCUUUCUGGGUUUGUUGUUGAGGGGAGGGGGAAUUGGGUUGGGUUUUUUUUUUUUUUUUUCCUUCCUCCUUUUUUUUUUUUUUUUGUCAAUCCUUUUGCUUGGGUUGCAGGAAGAUGGGGAGAGAGAGAGAGGGGGAAAGAUGAACUGACCUGAGGUUUUUUUUUUCCCCUUUAUUAUUUUAAUAUUUAAAAAAAUAUUAAAUAAUUUUUUUUUAGUUUGUAAUAAUUUUUUAAUAGAAAAUGAAACCGAAUCAAGCCACAUUAGCAUUUAAUUAAAAAAUUUACGAUCAAGUAAUAGAAUGUAUAACAUUAGCACAAAUUCGUAAGAUGAUGUAUGACAUUAUCAAUUUUAAAAGAUGAGUCAUGAAAGUUAAUGGUAAUUUUUUGUAGUUUACCUAAAAUUACGUACCAAAAAUUGUAGGAAAAAUGUUUAAUCAAAUUUGCAUAAUAGACGUUCAGUAACAUUUAAAAAGUUUUGCCCAACUCAAUAAACACGAGUCAACAACUUUCAAGAAUCUGUAUAAUGUGUUCGUCCCUUAGAGCAAAUCCACCCCAAAACCAACUCCCCAGCACCCAGCCAAAAAAAUAGGCCAGGCCCCUGUUUUUUUGCUCCAGCUCGUUACAUUGCCUGGCACCCAGCCCAUGCCAGGCAACAGCCCAGCACAUUUUGGACUGACCCAGAAGCCGGCCUGUUUCUCAGGCGCGUGCAACACAAGCGCGCAAGGCGCGAGUGGGUUUCAGGGAAACCUGAAAAGGUGUCAGCCCACUUGGGCUCAGUGACGUGGCUUCACGAUAGCCGUUGGAUUUCCAACGGCUAGUUUUUCUAGACCGUUGGAUUUCCAACAAUAAAAAAAAUUUAAAUUUUACUUUUAAACUGGACCGUUCGAUCAAAGAUCAACGGUCCAGAUUAAUUAACUUAAUUAAAAUUUAUUAAAAAAUACAGAAAAUUAAAAAAAAAAUUAUUUUUUUCUUUCUAUAGUUUAUUUGAUGAGUUUAUGUAAUUUUAUUUUAGUGUGUUUUUUUUUUAAGUUUAUUUGAUGAGUAUGUAAUUUUAUUUCAGUGUGUUUUUUUUUUAAGUUUAUUUGAAAUUUUAUCCAAAAUUGGUUAAAAAUCAUAUCCGAAAUAAACUUAAAAAAAAAAAAAACAUACCAAAUAAAUGCGCUGGGUGCCAGCGCAUUUUUUUAGGGGUGGAGAUGCUUUGGUCUGUUACUGUUCACUAGGGUCUAUUACUGUUCACUUGAGUGGAUAAAUGCGCUGGGUGCUGGCACAAAGUCCUUAGGGGUGGACUUGCUCUUGUAAAAACAUAUCACUUGAGGUGAUUAAUUAUACGAACAUAAUCAACUUCUAGAAACUUAAAAUUACAUGAUUAACCAAAAUCAUACUUAGGAAUCUAAGCAAAGAAUCAGAAGAAAUAUGAGAAAAAAGGAAUGGGGAACUUACAAGAUCUUUGAAAAUGAUAAAAGCGAUUACGAAGACAACAAAAGAAGAUUUCGAUCUCGGCGAAUGGAACGAACCGAAAGACCGACUUGACACCCUGAGUCAAUGCGGAUGCAUUUGAAACUCGCUUCGCCACGGCUGCGCGGUCGGGUUGGGCUUUGGAGUCGGAUUUAAUACCAUCGGAAUUAGAUCGGCGAUCAUCCGAUGAGCGAUGGUGGUCAGGUGGUGGUGUGAUUGGUGUCACGGAUGGGUGGAGCCGCGGAGAGCGGGAGGCGGAGGUGGAGGCAGGCAGGUCUGUGUGGACAGUUGGAUCUGGGUGUGGGUGGACGAUGCGGCCUUAGCCUGUAGUCUGGUCGCGAAGAACUUAUGAAGACGAAGAGAAAGGCUUGGAGCUUGGAAGACGGAGAGACCGAAGCGUCGAUGGUGAAGAUUCGAAGACGCAGGAGGGUGAAAAUUUGGUGCCCUCAGCAAUUUUGGGCCCAGGACAGGAGCCCUGUUAGCACUGGGCCAGGGCCAGGCCUGCUCCAAAGUGAAAAAAUGAUGCGAUGCUCUAAUGGCUCUAAUUCAAUGGUUUCUCAUGCUUCUCAGCCUCCCGUGCACUUUGAUUGUUGAUGUUACUCACUCUACUCCUAACGGCAAUGCCCGAAGGGCAUGCAAAAAUCUCUUUUCACUUGGAACAACGCAACAAGCCAAAGCGCGAGAUUUCCCCUACCACAUCGGAUGUUCAUGUAAACAUGCUACAAAUCCUAGUUUGC